This 67013-nucleotide long non-coding RNA is filed under the name Vitis vinifera (wine grape). RNAcentral's name for it is "long non-coding RNA (VVIN_LNC003650)". The record is from RNAcentral. Lineage: Eukaryota; Viridiplantae; Streptophyta; Magnoliopsida; Vitales; Vitaceae.
GCUUAUAUUUCUCCAUCUUUUUCUUGAUAGCUAGGAUGAAUAUAUUGAAAGAGCACACAUUUCUCUUUCUUACUAUUCCGGAGGCCAUUUAUAAGUGAAAUCCUUUAUGCCACCUCUUAAUUGGUACAUGUAAAAGAAAGUUUUGUCCAACGUCUUUUUUGCUUUCCUAGAAAAAUCAUCUCUCUCUCUCUCUCUCUCUCUCUCUAAUUUAUUACUUUCUUUUCACUCUAAUAAUGUUACCCUUUUCCUAGCAGUGAAGUUGACCUGGCUUUAAGAGCAUAUAACAAGCAAGUUGGGCCUGAGCCUGCUAAAAUAAUGUUUUAUGCUGUGUCAUAUGCUGCCUGGUCCCAGCCUCUGAAAAUUUUGUUUGAUGAGCACACAGAAAAUAGAAAAAUAAAGAUAAGACAAGGGGAUAGGGCUAAGGCAUGCCAAAGUACAUAGGUAGUAUACAAAGGGCACCAUGCAAAAGGAACAAUGAAAGGAGGGAAUUCAGAGGGCAGAACACAUGUCCACAUGUACUUGGCUUCUAAACAAUCAACAAAAUCGACCAUAGACAUAGUAUUCCCUUCUAUAUGGUGCCUAACGCAUUCCAGCCUCUGAAAAUGGCUUCCUUCAGCACGUUCUUAGGCCUUCUAUAUUAAUUCUCAUCCAGUAGGAUUAUGAUUAUUUGUUUCACUUUCUUUUCUUAGUGCAUAGUUGUAUUUUGCAGGAGACACUACGAGUAAAGGAUGAGGAAUUGCAGCAUUUGGCCAGGGACCUUCGGGCACGGGAUUCAACAAUUAAAGAGAUAGCAGAGAAACUAUCUGAUACUGCUGAAGCUGCAGAGGCUGCAGCAUUGGCAGCACAUACAAUGGAUGAACAAAGGCGAAUGGCUUGUGCAGAAAUUGAUCGUUUAAGAAAAGAUUCAGAGAAGCAGCUUGGGUCAUCCAUGUUGAAGGUACCCAUAAGUUCUCUCAUUUCUUGAUGGUUUGGUUCAUUGUUUAAUGAUAUUGUUAAUAUGUAUCAUCUUACAGGAUUAAGGAGGGAAAAUAAAACUUCACUACAAAAGUUUUGGUCUUUUAUUUUGUUGCUGAAUUUGUUUUUGUUUUUGUUUUAAUUUUAUUUUACUUCUUCCAUCAUUAUUAGAUAUAUGAACUUCAUUAAGAAUGCUUGUUUAGAAUUGAGAGAUGUUGCAUUUGGUUGCCUAAUCUUUCUUUAUUUGGGGUUUUCAUUGAAAUAUGUAGCUGAAAGAGUUUGAAGAAAAGGUUAUGGCUUUAUGUAAAGAAAGGGAUCAAUUGGUCAAGCAGAGAGAUUCUGCGAUCCAGGAGGCACAUUUAUGGCGCUCUGAGCUUGCAAAAGCAAGAGAGCGUGUUGUAAUAUUAGAAGGUGCAGUUGUUAGAGCUGAUGAGAAGGUCAGGGUUGCAGAGGCAGAUGCUGAAGCCAGGAUAAAGGAAGCAGCACAGAAAGAGUCAGCUGCUGUAAAGGAAAAGCAAGAGCUUUUGGCAUAUGUUAACAUGUUACAAGCACAACUUCAAAGGUUAAUCAUCUGACCCCUCAACCCAUCUUUGUCAAUAUAUAUAUAUAUAUAUAUAUAUACAGACUCAUUGGCCAUGUACUCUUGUCUCACCUCCUUUUCAGUUUUUGUAAUUCUUGCAUUCUAUUAUUGUACUUUAGGGCACCCAUAGUCAUAUUUCAUAAUUAAAAAAGGCUGUAAAUUUAAAAGUUGAGUGAUUACAUGAAGUAUUGAUAACUGAAAAUGGGGAACUGCAGAUGAUCUAAGUAAGCCCUAUAAGUUCAGAAAGUGAUGAAAAAAAAGAGAGUUAUUGAGUUCCACAUAGAUGAGUAGGUGUGGAGGAAGUAUGAUGGUUCUAAGGUUAUUGAAAUCUCCUUUUUCAGUUUCUAUUACAUAUUUAUGCAUGUCUCACAUGGUACAGAGAGUGAUUCCAUCAUUAAGUGAAUCUCAUCAAUGAAAUUUUGCUAGUUCAUUGAGGAUCUUCGAGGAUAAAGCAAGGAAUCCAGAGAAUCUUUGGGAUUUUAUUCAUUUCCUUGCUUCUCUUUGGGCUUUUUGUUCCAAGGUCUUUAAGGGGACUCCCCUUAUUGUGUUACAACUUGAUUGGCUAGCGGUGUAUAAUUCCUUUGGGUUGGUCUAGUCUAGAGAGUUUGUUCGUAUUAUAUUGUAUUUUCUUGUUUUCGUUUUCUUGUAGUUUAGUUUUCCUUAGUGGGAGGAUUCCUCAUCCUUCUCUUGUACUUCUUUUUUCUAUUAAUAUAUUCCUUUGUCGUUUCCUAUAAAAAAAAAAAAUUUGCUAGUUCAAAAUAAAUGGUAUGGGAUUAUUCCAAUGAUGUGCUCUAUUGGUUUCUGUUGAUGUGAAUCCUUUAGGGAUGUUAAAUUUUCUUUUAUUUCCUUAAGUUGCAAGGUCUUGUUUAUAUGUUGCCUCUGGUUUGUCAAAGUAUCCAUUCCAGUGAUCCGUAUCAUAUACUGAGGAGUUCCUUUGGAAUUCUUGUUCUCAAUUUGGAAGGUUACUCCAGGAAUAUAGUUGGUAAUAUAUAUUAGUUGAGAUCUGGAGGUGAGGGAUGGAGAUUGUGGUGAAAUGAGAACCAUCUUGCACCAUUAGUUAUGACAUGUUCAUGGUUCAGUUCUCAAUCUUAUAAAUUUGCAUUAAAAAGGUACAUUACAUCUGCAUUAUCUAGAAACUUAAGAAGAGAAACGACCUUUCAGUUGACUUCAGUGGAUAAACAAUGUCUGAUGCAUCUAUCAUUUCCUGUUAGCAGGCAGCAGAUUGAUACAAAAAAGCAAGUCUUUGAGGAGAAGACCGAGUCUUGCUCUGAUAUUGGCAACACUCGUCCCUUAACAAAGCAUGUGGAUUUGUCAGAUGAGAAUGUGGACAAAGCAUGUCUUAGUGUUUCUAGAGCAGUCCCUGUUGGGGAGAAUGUAGUCCACUUGGCCAUGGAUCAGGUUAAUCUCCGACCAGUUGGAGAUGGUGAAUGGAGUGAUAUUCAAGCAACAGAAGCAAGGAUAGCUGAUGUACGAGAAAUUGCCCCUGAGACAGAAGGAAGCAGCUUGGACAUUCCUGUUGUUAGCCUACCAGUAAAUAACCAUCAUGAACAAGGAGCAAACUCUUUUCAUCAGCCGUGAUAUUUUCCUGAUGUGGGGAUAAACUCACCAUCAAAGGUCAGUUAUAGGAGGAAUUGAAACUCUUGUUGCGUCUUUUAGUUCCCUGUCUAGCAUUUGAUUUGUAAGUGAGAUAUCAACAUGCUGGUUUAAAAUUGAAGUUGUGAUACAUGCCUUCUUCUUAAUAUAGGAAAAUUAGACUUUCUCAAUGCGAUGUUUAAAAGCAUCUCAAUAAGUUGUUUUUGAUAUUUGUGUGAAGAGCCUAUUUUUCUGUUUUUCCUACAGAUUUUUCAGUUUUGUUCAUUUUUUCUUGAUGAUACUAGUCUCAUUGAAUUGCUUCUACUCUACCUUAUCAUAUACCUUGGUUAUACCUAGUAGCCCUUUAACGUGUGACCAUUAUGUUCUUGAGAUGAUUCUCAAAGUUAUUGUACACAACUUCAAUUGUAACACAAAAUCAUAGCCUAUGAUCGAGAAUGGAAACUUUUGACUUCUUUAAGGAUCCUUUUUCUCCCCACCUGUUGCAUAAAGAUGCUGCUGCUUGACUAUCAGUCAUAAAGAGAUUUGAGUCUUUUCAAGCUGUGUUAAGCUCUUUGUUAAAUCAGUUGGGGAAGCUUCUUGUAAGUUGAGGAGAAUUGCAAAGAUAAUGGUAAUAAGAUGCCUUGUUUAGGAAUAAUAUCAAAUUUAAUGGGAUGAGCUUGCUCUUGUGGAUGACUCAUUUCCCUGGAAUUUGUAUUUGAAACUCUUGACAAAAGAAGCUUCACAAAUCAAAUAAUGAAUAAAUUGACCCGAGACAAAUGCUGUUGAUUGUUGUUGGGAAGUUAUUUACUUAGAGCGUAUUUGAGAAUUUUCUAUUUGAGGUAGAGAAAUGUUUUUUGGGAAUCGCCUAUCAAGUGCUUUUCUAGCAUAUAUUUGUACUCCCCAAUCUGAAAAUAAAGUAUAGACUGACAAAUAUUGGGAAAAGGGUGAAGUAGCUUUGAAAUUUUGGCAGAACUAGUAGAGAGUGAUGAGGAUGGUUGAAAGGCACAAUUCCAUGUCAUUUGCAUCGUUGCACGUAGGUGAGAUUGUCUUUCAUCCAUCCUAUAAGCUCUAAAUUAGUCAGCAAGGAAACUGCCUUGUAGAGUGAUACUUCACAUUGUUAUGCUUAUUUUUGGAUCUAUUUGAAUGAUGCUUAUAUUUGUUUUCCGUUGACCGUUAGAAAGCUACCUCCCUCAUGGUUGAAUGGUUCCUGUCGCGUUUCAGCUCGGGUUUAGAGACAUGAAGAUGAUUUCCACACGUCAAGUUUUCAGGUCCAAUUUGUGAAUGGCUCUCAAACCAAGUCUUUAACCUAGUGUGGAUAUAUUUUCUAAUGUCUACUUUUAAAAGUAAAAGUAAAAAAAUGAUAUGAAACAUGAAAAUUUUUAAAAAUGGUCAUUUUAAAAUUUUGUUUAAAUUUACUAUUUUAAAUUUUAAAAAUUCUGAAAAAUAAUUUUAACAUGAGAUGGAUCUUUAUGUAACAUAUAAUAAUUUUUAUAUAUCAUAUAGAAAUUGUUAUUAUUCCCCAUUUUUAAAGUUGAAUGAUAGGUGGUGGAUUCAAACCACAUCUUAAUUAAAAACCAAAUGGCCAACGACUUACGACGAACUUAAAAGUUAAAAGAGGUGUAAGCAAUAUUUUCAAAGCAUGAUUGGUUAUUAAAUCGAAAAAGUUACCUGUUCAUGAUUUAAUAGACAGAUUGAUGUUCAAACAAUGGUCGGUCAUAAAAUAUAUAUUUUAUAUAUUAAUAGAAUUAAAAAUAAUUGUAAAAAAUUAUAGGCGAAUAAAUUUUAUUGUUGAUAGCAUCUCCUUUAUUUGUCAAGUAUUUUCACAAAUUUUUUUACUGUAAAAGUCAACAUAUAUAAUAUCUAUAACAAAAUAUAGGAAGUUAUUUCUCCAUCACUAUAUAAAUCAACAUAGUAUUUACCAAGACAUUAAUAUAUGAAAUCCAUAUAUAAAAUAAUUAUCAAAUUCUCAAGAAGUUUUUAACACAUUAUCCUUGAUAUAAAUAUUGACCACAAUAUUUAAAUAAUUGAUAAAUAAUUUUUCAUAUCAAUAAAUAUAAAAUAUCUUGUCUUCAUUCAUCUCAAUGAUUAAAAUAUGAUAAUUUCAAAGCAACAUAUGGACCUCCAAAGUUUUUCAAAUCAAUCUCUCCUAGAGCCAUGCCAUCAUCAUCUUUGUCAUUUACAAAAAUAUUCAAUUAAUAUUAACAAGAAAAUCAUUUUUGAAAACAAAAUAAUUAUUAAAGAUUUAUAUGAGAAGUUGAACUUUGCGCUUCAUUUACUGGAAUUGAUCAUUUUUCAUAUAAAACCAUUUCUUCGUAGUCUAGCUCUCUUAGCUCAUCCUUCUCAACUAUCCAAAAUUCAGUCUCAUCAAUUCAUGUAUAAUUAACGAGAUCAUAGCCCAUUUCUCUUGUCGUAAAACCUAAAAUUGAUAAGCAUAUAAUCAUUCAAUUUUUUCAAAGCAUAUAAUAAUUCCAAUUGUAAUUAAAUAAUUUCUUGAUGCCCAAAUGAACCUAAUACAUGCCUUCCUACACAUCUCAUCGAAGUUCUUUCAUCACAAUCAACAAUACACAACAAAAACACAAGUAAAACCACAAGUAAAACCACAAGCUUUAUAAUUACGAAAUAAUCAUUCCAAUUUUUUAUUUUUAUUUUAUUUAUCCAAAAUGAUAGAAACUACAACAUUAUUUUUAUUAUUUUUGAAUAUCUAGAGUCUCCAGAAAACUUGCUAUUGACCAAAGUUUGCAAAUCAUGCUUAUGAUCAUGGAGACUUUUUAGUACAAUGAAUAUGGUAGCAAAGCAAGUUGCUCUAUGUCAUAGAAUCUCUGCCCAAAACAUCUUUGAUGCACAUCUAACUUAACAAAACAAUAUGAUUAUAUACAAAUAUUAUCACCUUUGAUGCAUGUUUUAUAAAUUCAACCAUAGGAUCCAAUUUAGCAAUAUUCUUAAAGAUCAAAUUAAGAUAAUGAAUUGUACAAGGAGAAUAAAUAACAUGUUUAUACUUUUAAGAAAUCAUCCUCCCUACAACCAUGUAGUUUGUUGUAUAAUUAGUGAGCAUAUGAACUAUAUUGUUUGAACGAACCCAUUCAACUAUCUUCUUAAACAUUUGAAACAAAUUAAUUACAUCAUUCAUAAUAUUCGAAGCAUCAAUGAAUUUCACAAAUGUCCUUGGGUAUAAUAAACAAGGAAGUUGAUGCGUAUUCUUUGUUUAUUGUCUACCUAACCAUCACUCGAUGUUGUACACUCAACUUUUGCCUAAAUUCAUGAAGAGUUUAGAUGUAACUGAAAUAUCCUUUAACAAAUUAAUCCAUAAUUGAUGGUAAGUUAGAACCUAAUGUCUAGAACUAAUUGCACCUAUAGCUUCUAACAUUGCUUUGAAGUAAAAGGAGUUGACAAUAUUAAUUAUUAGAAAUGUGUGCAUCAUAAACAAUAUCUUCUAAUGAUCAUAUCUACUUCCCAAAUAGUUUUAUUUAUUUAUUUAUAAUUAUUUAUCAAUUAAUAUACUCUUAAUGGAAGGUUGAACUCUUGGAGUAGUUCUUGGUGUAAGAUACUUGUUUUUUUUUUUCUUUUUCCACUACUUAUUAGUGUAGAAUUCUUGAAACUUUUCUUCAUAUUCUAGUUUAUCCCUUCAAAUUGUGAUAUGUUAGGGUCAUAUGCAUGUUCAUAUUUGUAAGCUUCUUGAGUUGUCUUUUUAGAUUUUACAAACUCUUGCAAAUAAUUUUCCAUUUAAAAUCUAACAUUAUGAGAAACAAAUUUACAUGGUCCAAUAUCACCUUUUAUUCCAACAAGGUGUUGUUUCUUUUUAUGAAUUCCUCACCUUUCAUAACCUUUUAGUAAUACAAACACAUAAAAGCUUUUUUUCCAUUUGCAUAUCUUUCUUUAGAAACAUGAACCCAUCCAAUGACAAAGAUUUGUGCAUGCCAGGAAUUGAAUUGUUAGGAGCUCCCACGAUAAGGACCUAUAUAGUUAGGACUCAUCGACUAUUCAAGAUAUUAUGUUUAGUACAUACCCUGAGCCAUAUAAGAUAUUCUACGCAAAUAUAAUACCCCGCAAAAAAGACUUAUAAUUACCAUGAGCAUAUUGACUCCCUCUAGGCUAUAAAGGAUUCACCAUCUAGGCUAUAUAGGAUUCAAAGAUUCAUUCUCCCUUGAAGACAUGAAUGCAAACAUGGACAUCCUUGUUAUAGCCUAUGGGAUUCAUGGGUGGCCAAAUGACUAAAUUUCACAUAUAUUUCUUCCCUCAAUGUAUUAUUCACUCUCUUAUAUGAACACUCCCAAAUUAUAUGAGAUAUCACAUUUGUUUUCUAAUGUAAGCACAAACUUUGCAUAUUUUUUUCUUAAGGAUUGACUUAAGGUCAUGACCAUGUAUUGUUUGCUUUCAUCAUACUCUUAUAACAUAAAAAAAAAGUUUGAGAAAACUCUCUCUCUAUGUGAUGAGAGAUAUUAAAUUAGAUUUAACAAAAACAUUUAAAAGUUGAAGUUUUUAAGUCUUCAUUUAGUUUAUAUUGCAGAAUAAAAAAAUGAUAACUCAAAUAUAUGAAUAUAUGGAAGCAAAAAUUCAAAACUUGGACAAAGUCUGCAGAAAAAAAACAAAAAAAUCAAAUUGAAUUUACAACAUCUGGAUGAAUCCAGAAUUUUUAUUUUAAAUCAGAAAUUUAAAAGUUUGGUAAAAUUUGUCUUAACUUCCUCAAACAAUCUAAAUUUUCUACGAUCCAAAUUUGGCAAAGGUUAGACUGGAGAAUUGUGUCAGGGGUGGCUGCCACAUAAAAUCGCAUUGAAUGAGAGAGAGACUUUUUGAUGGCCAUAGAAGUUGUGGGCCACAAUUGGGCUUGACUUUGGGCCAGAAGAACUUCCAAAUAUUCCAAAGUUUGCCCGACGAUGCAUCCUAACCAUUUAUAUGAGCAUUUCUUCUUUCUUCAUUCCCAUGUUAGUUUGGUCGUUGUUGAACGGUUCUCACUUUUCAACAUAAUUUCAAUGACUCAUAAUGAAUGGCUUCCAAGUGGGGAGAGAUUUUUUGAAAGGGAAAAAAAGAGUGGGGGAAACCGUAAGAUGGGGGAGUCGCCAUGCCUGCCGUCUCUCCCACCCUCUUUUACUUUCUAAGCCUUUUUUUUUACUUCCAAAGCUCUUAGGUUUGAAAGUGGGAAAAACUUUAAGAUCUGUUUCUAGUUAUUUAAAAAUUUUAAAACUGUUUGGCCCGAGCCUUUAGGGAUGUAAAUAAGGUUAAUUUAGUUAGUUUUUUUGAGUAAAAAAUGAAUCGAACCGAUAUAAUCAGUUUAUAUGUGAAAAAAACUAAACUGAUUGAAAUAAAAAAUCGAAUCAAACAAAGUCUUUUAAGGUUGUGAUAGUUUGUUUCAAUUUUCGUAGAUUGGUUUGAAUCCAACUUUUUCUUAGUCCUUCGCCCAAUUGUGGGUUUGAAUCCAACUUUUUCUUAGUCCUUGACCCAAUUGUGGAGUUUUUGUUUUAAACCUAAAACCCAUUAAUUUGAAUUUAUAUAAGGUGUUAAAGCUUAAUUUGUUUUUAAAAUUAAUUCAAAUCAACUUGGAUUUAAUGUUAAAAAUAUAUUGAAUGCAUUUAAAAUUAAUUUGAUCAUAAUAUAAAAUAAUGAAUUGUUUUAAUAUAAUCAAAUAUAAAAACACUUAUCAAAUAUCAAAUAAUUAUAUGUAAAUUUUAAAAUGACAGUUUAGUUUGAUUUUAUAUUAGUUAGAAGACAAGAAAAUUGAAUACUGAUAAAAGGUCGAUUUUCAAAAUUCUCAAAUCGAUCGGUUUUGAUUGCUUUGUGGAUUUUUUCACUUUUGCAUACAUCCCUAACUAUUUUUUGAAGCGAUUUUUUAAAAUAUGGAGAACAAUUUAAAAAAACCUACAAGUAAAAUAAAAUACGAUCUCUUUCUUUUUUUCACUCUUUAUCUUCAUUGAAGAUACUAGAAAUCCUCAAAUACAAUCUCCCUUUGAAAUAUUAUAAGAGUUUAUAUAUAUAAAUUUUCUAAAUUUUUAAAUUAAGUAGCACUUAAUACGUAUGAUCUAUUAAUAUUCAUAUUAUAUAUAUAACGAUUUUAUUAUAAUAUCGGUACAAUAUUUUACUAAAAAAAUAUUUAUUUAUUUAAUUUAUUUAUGAUCAAUUACAAAUAUAUUUUAUUUUUAAUAAGAUUUGAAUUAAAUUUAAUUAAUAUAAUAUCAAUUAGAUUUACAAUUUUUUUUUUUAUGAAAUCAAAGUAGAAGAACAAUAGUUUAAAAGCACCAAAAAUUUAUUUACCCAAAGAUUUUUUUUUGUUUUUUGAAAAAUAUUUUUAAAACAACUUGUCAAAUAGCUUAGACAUUAAAAGAUAUAGAAAAUUUAUUAACAAAUUUUGAAAUAUGGUAAAUUGAAUCUUUUGAUCAUCCAAAUUUUUUUAAUUUUUUAAUUUUUGUCUAAUCCCUUCCAUAAAAUCUUGCCAUUUUUUUCAACUCCCCGAGACUCUAAUUCAAUCAAUCAUCAAUCAUCAAUCAUCAAUCACAUCGACUUUACACCUCUAAAUUUCUUAAAAUUGUAAUUAAUAGUUACUACUCAAUCAUCCAAAGUCAAUCAAAAUUAUCCAAAAUCCCCAAAACCCUAAAAACCACAAUCACCCAUUACCAAAGUAGAUAACAAAACGUAGUUAUCCCAUAGGCAUGACCAAUCGGAUGCAAUAAAAAAUGGUUACGUACAAUAAUAAGAAUCAUCCACAAAUAAAAAAAUAAAAAAUAAAAAAUAAAAAAAAUGACUCAAUUGAACUUGAUUGGUACCAAUUUGGAAUUUAAUUUCGGAUGAUGUGGUUAAUGACACGUGGAUUAAUAUAUUGUUAAAAUAUAAUUUCUUAUAAAUAAUUUUGAUAUUGAAAAGUAGAAAAUGGAUUAACACAAUUAAGUUGGUAUUUAUUUUUUUUGCUAAAUAAAAAAAAAUUAAAAUAUUUAAUUUUUUAUAUUUAAUUAAAAUUAAUUUAUUAAUUUCUUAAUAAUAAGUUCAUUUUAAUUAUAUUGAUUAAUAUUAAUAAGAUGGUUUUAGCUGAAUAAAAAAAAUUAAAUAUUUUAAUUUUUUUUGCUCAAUCAAAAAAUAAACACCACUCAAGUCUAAUACAAGGAAAAAAGAAGUUUUUUUUUCUUUGAAUUUAAUUUUAAAUAUAAACUAGGCCUUAUUAAUUAAUUUUUCUAAAUUAUAUUAUUUUUUGGAGAUAUACUUGCAAAUAUUUUACCAAUUUUCUGACUUGUAGUAGUAGCAAAGAUUAGACCAAAUAAAUUCAACACCUAUCCAAGACUGAGUCAAAGGUGGGCCACAUGGUACCCCCCAUUUAUAUCUGGUCCGGCCCCUUUAAAAAAAAUAAAAAUAAAAAAAGAAAUUGGCCCAAAUAUUUAGGCUCGUUAUGUCUGAGAUGUCAUGUCAUACAUCUGCCCUAGAUUAGUAGAACGCUAUUAUAAACAUGAAGUCCAUGCACACAAAGUAAGGUUACAAGGUCUCCCAAGUAUUUAUUGUAAGUUUUUCAGUACUAUACUGUAACUAUAAGCUUCAGCUGCAGCUGCAGGCUUCUGUUCCAUGUCUAUCUACAGUCAUAAACAUGAGGUGGAUCGAUGGCUGACUCCACUAUCGAUCUCAGCUCAUCCCAGUUUCCGCUUGUGAAGAAUUGAUCAUUUCCAUUUGGGUUCCAAAAGCUCGAGUAUGGUCCACUGUAUGGUGAAACAAAUGAGCUCAUUUGGCCGACAACCAACUGGCUUCUUUCAUCGAUACUGCUGUCGACAACAGUGCUGUUCUUGGUCCGAGUGGUGGAGUUUUCAAAGCUCAAGUACUUGUCAUUGUUGUCGGAUUCUAAACUACAGGUCUUGGAGCUUGAAUCAGUGGCAACCUGUUUGUUUGAUAUUGAUCCUUUCCCUUCAGGUGUGUAUUUCCUAUAAGUUGGGCUUCGUUUGAAAAUUCGACAGAGUGUCCAGACUUCCUGCGCAUGCAUUGAGAAAAAUGGGUUUCAGUUCAGUUUGGUGAUCUGGCUAAUUUGUAGAAAAUUUAAGGCAGUGGGGAUGCAAUGAUUUUAGAGUUCUGAAUUUUCUUCCUAACUGCUGUGAAUUAGACCAUUAAUAUUAGGACAUGCAUACAGUUCAACUAGUUUGACUAUACAGAACAACUAGACAUACUUCAUGACGAGAGAAGAAAAAGACAUAUCAAAGCUGAAAGCAGAAAGAUCAACGCAUUCCAAAUCCUAAUGACAGUUUAGAAAUAAUAGAAAAAUAAUGUGAGUUGGAUCUGACAUUCAUGUGAAGUAAGCAAGAAGAGUCUAUUGAAGGUAUAUAAAAAGAAGAAGAAAAUUAUGAUUACUUAACUAAAAUGAAAUGGAUAAAUUUUGAAAAUAAUCAACAUGUUGAAUAAUCGCCACAAUUUUAAAUCCCCGUGUACUUUUUUAACUUUUCUUCUUGGAAAAAAUAACUUCCAUGUGCACAAUUUCGUGCGAAGGUGCGUAUUAGGAGAAAAAUCAGAUGGUCGCCCGAUGUUUUUCUCUUCCUCAAAUUAGUAAACUAAUAGAUGCUUAAAAAAUGAUAAGGAUGAUAAUAUGAGUUGUAGAGAAAAAAUUUGUCAUUGUUUCAUCGUUAUAAGCUGAUUAGGUUCAUGUAUAGAUUUAAAAGUUAGUUCUAGUUGAACACAAAGUAUCACAUGAUGGACUUCACCAUCUUAGGCACAGCUUCAAUGCAGAUCUUGAAGGAUUAAACUAGAGAAUUAUAGGACUUGAGGAGAGCCAAAUCCAUCUUUGGACAAUUUGAGAGUGUUUCAGAUUGAAGAAAAAAGGAAAUCUAACCACUUGAGUACAGAUACAAUGCCCAUAUUUAUGCAUGACAAUUGCUAGUUCUUUCAGAUACAAAAAAAUAUUGUCACAGCUAAGUUGUGGAGAAAGUUAAGGGAAGAAUGAAGUUUGAGAAAAAUCUUACAGCUUCUUGAGUGACAUUCUUUGCAUUGGGGAAGUAGGUGCCUUUCCCACCUGGUGGGAGGCGGAACUCAUGCAUCAUCCAAUCGGUUUUGGUGCCUUUUCCAGCGCUUCCACGGUAGUAGACCAAGGAUUUCUUCAGGCCAAUGCACUCAUUGGUUGCUUCAACAGAAUAUAUAGGCUUGUCAAUGCCUGUGGCUUUCCAAAAUCCGGACCCUGUGACUCGAUUAGGCCUUAUGCUGUUCCUAUACUUUCUCCCUCUUAUGCAGAAGAAGUACCACUCUCUAUCUCCCAUGUUAGUGCUGACUCCUUCAUUUUCAUAAAAAGACUUCGAGGUAAGAAAUUAGGGCUAAAGCUAAUAGGAGGCAUGCAAAAAUAUUAGUAUAUUUUAAGCCUGGUUACUCUAGGCUUUCAAAUUACAGUUGAUGAUCAUACAAAGGUUCAUUAUUGAAACAAGCUUUAAGGUUUAUUAUUCUUUUGAAGGGAGCUUACUGUGAAACAAGCUUCAAAUUCAAAAUAGGGAAAAGGGUAUGUAAACUUAUGCUGACUCUAGCUAGCAUGCAUCCUCAUUGCCAUGAGGUAAGGGACUAUUUGGUUGAGAAGAUGGAGAGAAGAUCAAAAGAAGACAUGGAAUUUCACCCCAUUCCAGCCCAAAUAACUUCUCGUUGGAACUAAUUGCUGCCUCUUCAACCUUCAGUUUUCUUGUAAUUGUGAAAUUAUAAUAAAACAUACUCUAAAAACUUGAAAGAAAUGUUUAUAUCUAAAUAUUGUCAACUAAGUAGAAUCAUGUUCCUGUAAUUUCAGUUGCUUCAAGCUUAUUGAAACACCUAGCCUCCAUGAUCAUCAAUAUACACUCCUUAAAAUUCCCAUAUACCGCCUGCAGCCACAGAUGUUAGCAUCACCAUCAUCAUCAUCUCUCUUUCUCUGCAUGUGCAGUGUUGUACGGACUGCAGGUUACAAUAAGUUGUUAAAAGUUUGUUUGCGUGCAUGCAAGGCUACUCUCACCACAACCACUUGCCCAUACAUGUCACUAGGUUCUCACCCCGCUAUCUUUAUAUGUUCUUCCUUUCGUAUAUCUAAAUACGUAUUUCUUUGCAGCAAAGUUGGCUGUGAAUCUUUUCAAAUUGUAGCAACUCGAUUCAUCUCAAAUUGAUGGCUUCCAAAUCAUGAUUUCAUCGGAUCAAUAGAGAAAAAGAGAGGUACCUGUUUUGAUUCUUAAGCCACCUAAGUGAAUUUUAAUGGGAAAGGAGAAAAAGGGAUGAAAUUAUAACUUACUUGGAAGAUCCCAUGGAUCAUAUUUGUAGAUAUCCACCUGUUUGAUGAGUUCAAGACUGAUUGGUUUCUUCUCCACCUUCCGCCGCAGAUAAAACCCUACAAGUUCUUCAUCAGUAGGAUGAAACCGGAAUCCGGGGAGCACGACUUCUUCAUCAUCAUCCUUCUUGUUGUCUAAAGUGCUAGUCUUCUCCACCUCCAUCCCUCUCUUUCUCUUCCCCGCUCCUGUUUGUCCAAGCUUUAGGUUAGACUCAACUAGAACCUUCUUAUAAUGAAUAUAUUUUUGGUGGUGGUUGCCCAGGUCAAGGCUGUGAUAUUGAUUCUCAUUAAUCUUGAGGGCAAAAGGGUCUUGGAAGAAGUCUCCAUUUGUUGAUAAUUCAAUAGCCCAGUGAAAGACACUCAAGUAAAUGGUUUUUAUUUGGUCUCAAAAAGGUUCAUGGUGGAACUUGGAAGGUAAAAAAGAAAAUUAUGUGACGGAUCUUUUUGAAACUGUAGAAGUAUUGCCUUACACAAACUGUUAUAAAAGUCUACCAUGGGCCAUGAAAGUGACUCAGAAAGAGCCAAACCUGUAUAGACUUGCAUUAAAGGAGAGAGAAAAUCAAAGGAGAAGCUUUCAAAGACAUUAUGGGUGGAGGAAAAUUAUGAAAAAGAGCGCUAUCAAAGGAGAAUCAAGUCUAGAAGAUAUAUUGACAAAUUUGAAUUAUUAUUUCACCCAUAUAUACAUAAAACAAUCUUUUGCCCUCCAUUGUAGACUGGAUUUUCAACUUUCAAACAAAGUGCCCACUCCCAAUGAUAGUUACCCAUGAGCUUAAUUACCUCAAACAAUUUUUUUUUAUACAUACUGUGGUAGAGAGAGACUUAUAUUUGGAAAAAAAGGGUUUUAUUUAUUUUUUUAUUUUUUUAUUCACCGUAAGGCUGAGAAUCAAUGAAGCUUUUGAUCAGAAGAGCUUAGCCGGUGACUUUUGACAAAAUGUUGCUUUGUGUAAGCUGUCCAAUUAAGAAUUUGUGAGUGAAUGGGGUUCUGGAUUUGGAAUUUUCCGGUAUGCCCGUGUGGAAGUCAUAAUACUAAUGCUGUCUUUCUUCCAUUCUUUCAUAUUUUUUGUUUUUGGUCUAGAAGGAAGCCAUGUUGCCUCUAGAAAAUAAUGUUAUCUUUGUCCUAUAUAUUAUUGGUCAAUUGCUAAAAUAUUAAUACUUAAUUGAUCUUAUGUUGUGCUUAUUUGAAUUAAGAUGGAAAUAGUGUUGUAAAUAUUUCAUUAUAAGGUGCAUUUUGCAUGGAUGAAUUUGAUAAGAAAUUAUUUUUGGAGCUUAAUUUGAACCCUUCCACCCAUUUGCAAUCCACCCCCAAAAAAGUUAUAUCUUAAUUCUUUCAUCUCCCUUUCCUCAUUUUCUUCCAUUCCCUACUUCAAAUUUGGAAAAAGGAAAAGGGAAAUAAAAAGGGGGUAGUAUGGCUGGCGGCCAUGGUUGCCCUGAGUCAAAAGGUUGAAGAAGAGAGGGAGAUGUAUGUUGUGUCCAAAGGAAUGCAACCGAGCUCCUCAAAUAUAAAUCCUACCCCUUGGCUCUUUGUUGUGCAUUUCCAAAUAGUCCAGUCUUCGUUUAUUGAGGUGAAUUUUCAAAGCCAUGUUUGGAAGUAAAAAAUGGAACAAUAUAUAGAUGAAAAUAACAUUGAAAUGAUUCAUAAAGGGAUAAAAAGAUUUAGUAUUUAUAAAUAUAAUAUUUUUCAUUUUUUGUUUCGAAAAAUAAUUUAUUUUUGACAUAAAUGCCUUUUAAUAUAUUGAUUAUUUAUAUUUAUGUUUUUUUUUUAAAUGUUAUUUUUGUAAAAAGAAAAUGAAGAUAUUUUUAUACAAGACCAGUUUUUUGUAGGAUUAGAAAAGGUCAAAGACUGGAUUCACACGAUGGUUUCCUUGACGUGACGACUGUAUCAAAAGUUAUGAAGGAACUUAAAAACAUUUCAUUUUCCCACUCCCACUUGAUGGGGGUCUUUAUCAAGUUACAAAGGUCCUCAAAAACAUUUCAUUUUUUCAGUCCCACUUGAUGUGGAUUAGGUAAAUAAAUUGAGGUUUUUUCCAUUAUUUGAAAGCAACAAGAGAUGUCCCUUACCACCUGGAAAUUGCAAAUUUUCAACAUUUAGAUGGUUUUUUCUUUUUGUCUUAAUUCGAAGAGACAAAGAAAAAAAUAAUUUAGCAUAUUUUUAAAUAUCUCAAAAUAUCAAAAUUUAUUAUAAUAAUACAAAAUUUAAAAAUUAUUAUGAAAUAUUUAAAAUUAAUUGAUUAAAAGGAUGAAAAUAUCUUAUAUUUGUGAAUUUAAUCUUUUUUUUUAAAUAAUCUAUUUUUGUCAUAAACUCUCUUAAUCCGUUGAUUGUUUACUUGUGUGUUUUAAAAAAAAAAUGUUUUUUUAACAAAAAAAAAAAAUGAUGAUAUUUUUGUUUGAACCGAGUAUUUUUUAGGGUUAAAGAAGUUAAAGAAUAGAUUUAUAAAAUGGAGAAAAUGAACAUCAAUUAGCUUCCAAUGAUAGGAUUUAUAUUGGGGUAUAUUUUGUAACACUUUAUUUUUAAUUAUUCUUCAUAUUUAUAUAAUUAUUUUUAAAAAUAAUAUUAGAAAACAAGAAAAAUAACUUGUUUUUAAUACACAUUCUCAAAAACCUAUGUUUUGUUAAAUUCCCCCCCCCCCCCCCCCCAAAAAAUUUUAAAAUGGUUUUUUUAAAAAAAAAAAAAAAAUAAUUUUUCAAAAAAUUUCCCCCAAAGUUUUUUUUUUUCGUCCCCCCUUAAUUUUAACCCGAAAACAAUUUAAGGGGAAGUGAAAAACCCGGUGGGGGUUUUAAAAUUCCAGGAGCCCUCCCCCCCCCCCUUAAAAAAAAAGGACCUACCCUGGCCAAAAAAACUGAAAAAACCUUAAAAGGUUUGAAAUUUUUCUCCAAAUUUUUAAACCCAAACCUGGUCCCCCGAACCAUUUUUUUAAAAUCUAAACAAAAUUUGAACCCUCCCAAUUGAUUUUUCCAAAAAUCCCACCCAAUUUUUGACCCGGGAAAAUGAAAGGGCUGCCUGUUGUACAAAGGGGUGGGGGUUANNNNNNNNNNNNNNNNNNNNNNNNNNNNNNNNNNNNNNNNNNNNNNNNNNNNNNNNNNNNNNNNNNNNNNNNNNNNNNNNNNNNNNNNNNNNNNNNNNNNUUUAAAUUUUUCUUCAAAUUAAAAAAAUUUUUUUAAAAAAUAAUUUUAAAAACCAAAAAAAUUACUUUUUUUUUAAUACCCUUUCUAAAAAACUUUUUUUUUUUAAAUUUCCCCCCCCCCCCCCCCCAAAAAAUUAUCAAAGUGUUUUCUUAAAAACAGAAAAGAAACUAGUUUUCAAAACAGUUCCACACAAUGUUUUUGUUUUCAGUCAGCCUUAAAUUUGAGCCUGAAAGCAGUUGAGGCGGAUGUGAAGACCCGGCUGGUGCUUUGAAAUUCCAGGCAGCCAUCCAGCCCCACAUGAAUAGAAAGGUACGUACCAUGCACAGAAAAGCUGACAAAUCAUUAAAUGUUCUGAAUUUAUCGUCAAAUUAUUGAAUCCAAAGCUUGUUCCCAGGAUCAAUUAUUUGAUAGUCUAAUCAAAUUCUGAUCUCUCCGAUUGAUUUUUCACAAAUAUCCAACCAAUUUUUGGACCUGGAGAAGUGAAUGGCCUGCCUGUUGUACAAAGGGUUGGGGUUGAUCCUUCAAUGUGAUGAUAACUGACGUGUUGACUAUAAUUCUCAGGUUGCUAUAUUCAUACUCCACAAUAUUGGAUGCCUUUAAAUGCUCAUGUGCAUAGGUGUCUGAUACUGUACCACACGAUUGUACGUUCAGAAAGUUUGUAGAAUUCAAAACCCAAAAUUCAUGUCGGGUCAUAGAAAACCCGAAAAGAAGUGUCUCUCUCUAUAUGUAUAUAUUUUCCAUGCAUUAACUGUGGUUUGAUUUGAUAUAUCUUAAAUAAAUAUAAAAACAUAUCAUGCAUGCAUUUUAUAAAAAUAAUGAUUUUUUGUUGCAUUUUCUUCCUACUUUUGUUGAAUUAAUUUAAUAAUUUAAAUUUAAUUUAACUUAAAAUAAAUGGUUAUUUGAUAAAAAGUCAUUGAAAACCAAUUUUAAAAAUAUAAUAUUUUAUCGUUUUUUGACCCAAUUUUGAUCAAAAUGCCCUAUUAUUUAUUUAUUUAUUUUUUGUAAAAAUAACUAUUUCUUUUAAAACAUAUUGUAAAUACUUGAAAUAGUUAAAGAAAUUUAUAUCAAGAAUGAGUUACUCUUCAAACAAAAAUAUGAGAAUGGAUAAAUUCACAAAAAUAUGGAUAUGAAUUCAAAUUCUAUUUGUCUUUGUUUGUUGGAUAUGAAUCUAAAUUCUAUCAAUCUCUAUUUGUUGGAUAUGCAUUUAAAUUUUGUCUAUCUUUAUUUGUUAUAUAUGAAUUCAAAUUCUGUCCGUCUUUAUUUCUUCUAUGGUUUUAUGUUUUCUUCUGUCUCUCUUCCUUGAUUUUUCAUUCCUUGAUAGUUUUAUGUUGACUUUUUUUUUUUUUUUUUUUGAUGGUUUUAGUUUUGUGUCUUCUUCUUCUUCUUCUUUGUCUUCUUUUCUUUUUCCUUGAUGGUUUUAGUUUAAUAUCUUCUACUAUUUUUUUUUCUUUGAGCACAUACCUUUCUUUUAUAAUCAUAUUUUCUUCCUUUAAGCAUAUACAUUUUCUAUUCCUACCCUCAUAAUGUCUUUAAGUCAGAACUUGUUCACAUCGAUCUUUUAUUGGAUGAUACAUAUAGUUUUCUUAUAAAUAUUGGUACUUUGGUUUUUGAGUGUGAUUGAUUACUACCAAAAAGUGCUAUUUUGUAGACCUAAUUAUAAUGGUUUUAAGCACCUUUGAGUAGUAAUCAUAUUUAUUUAACCCAAUUAAUUCAUUAAGGUCCUUAGUAAUUGGUUUUAACCAUUUUGUGGCAAGUUUACAUGUUUUUAUCAGCUUAUGAAUCAAUUCAAGCAUGCCAAAUGAUGGAGGAGCUACUUGGACAAGUUAUGGCAAAGCUUUUGGAAGCUCAAAUUCAUGAAGAACCAAGCUUUGGAGCUCCAUAGCCCUUUGCCAAAGUCGUUCAAAGUAUGCAAGGAAAGAACAAUGGAAAAGAGGAAAAGCAAGCAAAGUGAAGAGAAGCAAAGAGGACAGCAGCUGCAGUCUUCUUUUGCACUUUUGGAGUACUUUCCGAAGUCCAUUUUCUACAUGCUAUAUACCAUUUCAAAGCUCUGGAAGUCAAGAAUCCAACGCUUUAAACCGUGUAUGAUUUGGAGUUGAAAUGAGGAAGAUAUGGCCUUCGGAAGCCAACUGCUCCAGGUUAUGCGAAAUUCGCAUAACACCUUCAAAAUUUGCAUAACCCAAGCGUGUUGCGAAUUUUCCUCUGCUUUUGCCGACUCCACUUUAGAUAUUUUCCUUUGUAUUUUGUGAUGUAAUUUCCCUUCUUAUCCUUGUAACUAACAAAUCGCAAGCUUUUGCUUUUGUAAAGACUAUAUAAGGGGUGGAAAUCACCUCUUGGAAUAUAUAGAAUAGAUAUUACGUUUAACACAGAGAAAUAUACAGAGCUCUCUUGUUUCUCUUUUCUCUUUGCUAUUUUAUUUUCUUGGAAGCCAAACAACCUCUGAGGGCUUUUCCUUAGAGGAUGAUUGGCUAAAACUUUUAGUUUCUCAAAGUAUGGAUGUUAUGUGAUGGCUUGGAUGCAAUCCCAUGGAAAUUUCUCGCACCCGGAAGGUAAGGUAGUCGUUUUUCAUUAAUGGUUCAUUAAUGCAAAGUUUGGUUUUUAUUUCCUUUGGACAACUUCCAACGGCCAAUACUUGAUAAGCUUUUGGAUUUCUAUCCAUUAGUUAUCUCAUACGAGUUAUUGGAAGGUGAGGUUUUCAAUUCCAAGUUUUUCAUUAAUCCGUUAGAACCAAUUUCAAUGGCCAUUGCAAGGUGAGUUUAUCACCUAGAAUGACUUUGAGUUGCCAAUAUUUGGUAAGCUUUUGGCUUUAGACCAUUAGUUAUCUCUUACGAGCCAUUUAAAGGAAGUCUAAGGUGAAUAACCAUUGAUGAAAUUCACUACCAUCUGUUUUGUCAUUUUAAAGGAUUAAAACUUGAUUUGCUAAAUCCAUACCAGUUCGGGAAGCAAGCAUCACCAUAGUUGCAACCCUAAACCGAGGAGCCUAUCCUGAGAUUUCCAAUUUGCAUAAGAGCCUGAGCAUAGCUAUCCUAUCUUUGAGAAACUUGUUUUUACACCCUUUCAUUUUAGUCUUUAAUGUUAGCUUAGAUUAGUUUAAAUCUUUCUAAAACAUUUACAUAUUCUUUUAAAGCUAACAUCCAUAAGAAAAUCACUUAUUUUCCUAAUUUGAAUAUCACUAGUGUUUGCGAAAACCCUUCCCAGUGAACGAUCCUAGAACCACUAUGCUAUAGUAGCUUGGCUACUUUAGUAAUAGUAUUUAAGGUAUAAAUUUUGUUGAUACGCCUUUAAAGCUAAGCUACCAUGAGUCGAAUCAGUGAUGCAUCUUCUUCUCCUUCUCCUACUACUACUCCCAUAUCUUUUGAAACAAUGGAUCCUUCUCCCUCACGUUCUUCUCAACAUCUUCCAAGCUAUGAUUGAAAAACUUUUUACUUUGCAUAAGAUAGAUACUUGGGAUUUGGUACUUUUACCACCUGUAUGGUAUAAAUUAUAAGGAGACUUUUGCUCAUGUUACAAAUGUGACUAAUAUUUGUACUCUUAUUAUAGUUGCUUCUAUUUUUUCUCUUACUUAGAUGUAUUGUGACAACAAAAAUACUAUUUAGAUUGCUCACAACUUUGUUUUUUAUGACAUAACCAAAUGUUGCGACAACGAAAGCUUUGAUGCCAACAAUGUUAGUUCAAGAACACAAAGAUAAAACAAUCACACAUAUGGUACACGAGGUUUUAACGUGGUUUGGCCAACCAUGCCUACGUCCACGGAUAGAGAGAAUGAUUCCACUAUACAAUAGAGAAUAUUACAGAGGACAGAACUAGAUACAAGUAUUGGGUUCUCGAAACAUCCCAUGUUUCCCCACUCCUUGUAUCCAUACCUUACUACGAGCCCUCUCGCUCCACCGGGUACCUCCUGUUCUUCUUCACAUCUCUAUCCACCUUGUAUAGUCUCUACAGGCCCAUCUCCAUCUCAUGACUUUUUCCCCUCAUGACCUAGAAUAUUUAUAGAGAUAUUUCCAAGAACCUUCCUUAUUCUAUAAGGAAGUCUAAUAUUAUAAUAAUAUAUCAACUUAGAAAUAUUCUAUAUAAUAUUCUUUACAAAAAAGGAAUCUAUACUAAUUAAGAAUUUGAGACACUUCCUAUCAAUCUCCACCUUGGACCAAAUUCCAUGAAGUUAAUCUUCAAUCUCUCCAUGACACAAACUUUUUUGUAUCAUAUCACCACGAAAGAGCAAUUGACUCCACCUUCAGUGAAAAUUCCUUUUGUUUUCAUCUUGUGUGCUUUGUGAUCUUUUACUCUUCCAGAAAUCUUCAACCCAAGCUUUGAUACCAGUUGUUGCGAUAACGAAAGCUUUGAUGCCAACAAUGUUAGUUCAAGAACACAAAGAUAAAACAAUCACACAUAUGAUACACGAGGUUUUAAUAUGGUUCGACCAACCAUGCCUACAUCCACGGAUGAGAGAGAACGAUUCCAUUAUACAAUAGAGAAUAUUAUAGAGGACAGAACCAGAUACAACUAUUGGGUUCCUGAAACAUCCCAUGUUUCCCCACUCCUUGUAUCCAUACCUUACUACGAGCCCUCUUGCUCCAUCGGGUACCUCACAUUUUUCCUCACAUCUCUAUCCACCUCGUAUAGUCUCUACAGGCCCAUCUCCAUCUCAUGACUUUUUCCCCUCAUGACCUAGAAUAUUUAUAGAGAUAUUUCCAAGAACCUUCCUUAUUCUAUAAGGAAGUCUAAUAUUACAAUAAUAUAUCAACCUAGAAAUAUUCUAUAUAAUAUUCUUUACAAAAAAAAAAAAUCUAUACUAAUUAGGAAUUUGGGACACUUCCUAACACCAAACAUAUUAAAAUUGAUUAUCAUCUCACUCGUUAUCACAUUCAACCUAAGACUCUUACUUUGUCUUUUGUUUCUUCUUUCAAAUAGAUUGUAAAUUUGUUCAUCAAGUUAGACUUGUUCACCUGCAUGGUAUGGAUUAUAAGGAGGCUUUUGCUCAUGUUACAAAUAUGACUAAUAUUUGUACUCUUAUUAUAGUCGCUUCUAUUUUUUCUCCUACUUAGAUGUAUUGUAACAACAAAACUACUAUUUAGAUUGCUCACAACUUUGUCCUUUAUGACAGAACCAAACAUAUUGAAAUUGAUUAUCACUUCACUCGUUAUCACAUUCAACUUAAGACUCUUAUUUUGUUUUUUGUUCGUUCUUUCAAAUAGAUUGCAAAUUUGUUUAUCAAGUUAGACCCAUUUUCGUGUUUUUGACUUUUGGUUCACAAACUUUUGAUGCUUCUUGCAACCGUAUCAUGAGUUUGUGAGGGAUUUUAGAAGUUAUUAAUACAUUUACAAACUUUUGAUGCUUCUUGCAACCGUAUCAUGAGUUUGUGAGGGAUUUUAGAAGUUAUUAAUACAUUUAGUUACUAUAUAUUUAUUUAUUUAGUUACUAUAUAUCUUAUUUAUUUAGCUACAAUAUUAUAAUUAUUUUCUUUCGUUUUAGAAGUAAGAGUUAAUUUUUUUUUUUCGAAUCUUUUUUGGAUUUCAACAAAUAUUACAACUAAGUUACCCUUUAUUCAUUAGUCUUCAUUCAAUUCAUAUUAAUAACGAAAUUUUUUAAAAUUCCCAUUAUAUGAAAUGUCUAAAAAGAGAAAAACAUGCGAAGAAAAAAAAGUUCCAAUUUUUUUUUUUAGUUCUUAUAUUUUAUCAAGCACUUUUUGGAUAAAAAGUAAAAUUAUUAAAUGAGGUUAUAUAUGUAAUUUUUAAUACAUAAAAAUUAUUUUUUCAAAUAUGAGUAUUAUCCCAUCCUUUUUAAUAAAAUAUUUUUAUUAAAAAUAUAGUUUUUCGGUUUAAAAUAUUUGAUUGUUAUGCUAUCCUACACUUUGGACUCUUUUCCUUUAGAAAAAAGAAAAAAGAAAAAGAAAACAUAUAUAGAGUAUUUUUAAUACAAAUCAAUUAUUGAUUAACCCUCAAAACCUUUGCCACCAAAAAACUGGACAUAAUACUCAAACUAGGUUUAAAUCCUAAAUACAAAAAUAAAUUUGAAAAAGAUUUUGGGUUAGGUGGAAAAUAGGAGAUAAUUAGGCUUUAUUUGACAAUUAUUUUUUAGAACAAUUUUUUGUUUUUUAAAAAAAGAAAGGGAAAACAUGCUUGACAACAAGAAAAUUGUUUUCUAUAUUAUGAAACAUGGUGUUUUCUAUUUUUAAAAUAGAAAAUAUGAUGUUUUAAAAAAAUAUCUUUUAAUUAUUUUCAUUUGUUUUUGUUGGAUUGUUUUAAAAAAUAAUUAUAAAAACAUGUAAAAUGAAAUAAAAUACUAAAUAUAAAAAUGAUUUUUAAAAUACAUUUAAAAAUAUUAAAAACGGAUUAAAAACGUACAUCUUAUUUCCGAAACAAAUUUUUAUUUUAUAAAACAUUAGAUAAUAGUUUUCAAGAACCGUCUUUAAAAACUAUUUUCGAAAAUAGUUAUCCCUCAAACAAGAUCUUAAUUUCAUACGAGACCGGUAAUGUGAAUCAACAAAAUAGACAAACACACAUUUAUCUUUAAUUAAGAAUGUUUUUGUCCCAUGCAGAACUAAUUACAUUAAACUUAGCUAUCAUGCACCAUGUUUUCCUGCCGGUAAGUCAUUUAAGCUGCCAUGCGAACCACGCUCCGCCGACCUCCAUCACUCACAAUAAAAUUAAUCAUUCAUAAUAUUCAGAAGAUAUAUUAAACUGUGAGCAAUUUCAACAUGUAAAAUCACAUGGUAUGACUAUGAGAUUUGAGUUCUCUUUAUCACAGUGGCCACAGCAAUUAGUAAUUGUACAAAUGUCUUCUUACUGAACCUCCUUUUCAACGCACGAUCCUCUACAAAAUAAAACGAACAGUGUCCCGAAAAUUAGACCAAGAAUAUUUCAAUGAUCAACAGCCGAAUUCACUGACUUGCCUUAGAUCUUACAAGUAAGAUUAAUCCGGCCAAGUCUAUGAACUGAAUGUUGGAGAACCACAGAGAAAGGAUGAAUGCUUUCAUAGGGAAAAGUUUGCUGGGGCAUAGACUUUUGGUUGGCGAGAGUUGCGCCGUAGACUCAAGCAUGGGCAAAUCUAAUUUUGGCGUCAAACAUGUAAGAAAAAAGAAUAUUUUGGUUUAGAUUUUCAAUGAAAAUGUGCUGAUGAAAAAGUCCAAGUCUACGAUCUUGUUGUGCUUCAAAUAGUGAAGUCUUAAAGAGAACCUUCCUCUGUUGUACAAAGUGGAAUCACAGCCUCUAGUCUUUGCGGGGUUGUCCCUACAAAAAACUGGUCCUGAAACAGUCUUACUUUGACCUUGGACGUCGUAUGACAUCAUGAAUGCCAAAAACUAUUUACUAUUAUUAUAUAAAUUUCAAUGACUUUCUAUGUAAGAUUUCGUCACAUGCAUGAAAAUUUGGCUUGGGGUGCACAAUUGGAUUUGUCGUGUUAUUUAAUUUUCUUAUUAAACACUUUGAUAAUAUUUUAUAAAUCACUAUAAUUCUUCAUCAACGAUACUAGUAUGAUAUAUAUAUUAAAUCCAAAUUCUAUAAAUUUAAACUUUUAGUUUUUUUUAAUUCAAUAUGGUAUCAAAAUUUAAUUUGACGAGAAACCUCAUAUUUUUAUAUAAAUUCAAAUUUUAUCUGCCUUUCCACUUGUGGGUAUGAGACAGGAGGGUGUUGAGAGUAUUAUAUGUAUAUUAAACCAAAAUUCUAUAAAUUUAAUUUAAAUUUUUUAAAAAAUUGAUAAUUCAUAUAUAUUAUUUUAUAAAUUAUUUUAUCUUUACAUUCUUAUAUUAAUAUAUUGAUCAUAUUAGACUUCUCUUUUAAGUAAAAUAGUAUCAAAUUGUUAUUAGCACAAUAAGUGAUAUCAAAGUUUUCUUUUUGUACAAUACUUUUAAAUAGUUAAAAGUAGAUCAUUUAAAUUAAAUACACAUGUAUCUUAUAAUAAAUUUAUAUAACUUUUUUUGGUGGCAUAUAGGAAUCAUGCAUCCAAAAUUUUAAGAUUUAGGUCAAUUUGAGAAUUAUUUUUGAAAACAAUUUUCCAUUCUCUAGUAUAAAAAACACAAAAAACAUGUUUGAUAACUGAAAACUAUUUUUUAUUUACUGUUUUUAAGAAUAAAAAAUAGGGUGUUUUCAAAUAAUAUCUUUUAGUUGUUUUUUUUUAUUAUUUUUACUUGUUUUUUGAAAGAAGUUUUGAGAAAUAAUUAUAAAAAUAUGUAGAAUGAUUAAAAAUAAAACAUUACAUAUAAAAGUUAUUUUUAAAAUAUAUUUAAAAAUAUUAAAAACAAAUUAAAAAUACUUUAGGUUUUCAAAUAGACUUUUGUUCUAUAAAAAUUAAAAAACAAAUUUUCAAAUUAUUUUUGAAGACAAUUACCAAACAACCCUUAAUUUUUUCUUCAUACUUUCCUUUCGAAAUAAUAUUUAAUAUGACAAGAUAAACUAAAUUGGUUUCAUUAGAGAUGUGGUGGCUAGUAUAAUGACAUGUAGAAACUUGUAGAGUAACUUCUAGUAUUAAAAUAACCAAACCUUUCCACAAAUAUUUAGGGUGGUUGUGAAAAGAAGUAUGUGUAGCUACAUUAUUGGACCCAAUAGGAUGCUCCAAAAAUGUUGCCUUUCGUGAUAGGAAUGCCCCUUCAAAAGUCAUAUUACUUGUACUACCAAGACACCACCACUAAGUAUUUAUCCAUAUCUUAAUCCAUGUGUGCAUGGAGAUGAACACAAAUAUAUAUAGAAAAGAUAAAUAUUAGAAGACAAGUCUCCACAAAGAGACAAAGAUAUGGAAGGCUUGGGUCAACCAAUCCCGCUAUGCGUGGCAAAUGUUUCAGGGGACUGCGUAGGAUUGAACAGCCUUUGCUUGAGGGAAGAUCAAUCUAUGGGUGGGAGUGAAGGCAGAACUGGAGAAGUAUUGGAACAGGUGGGUCACCUCAGUUGACUAUGAAACAUGGCAUUAGUCAACGCAAAUCUUGGCUUUGGAUCUCUACAUCGGUGCUGAAUAUUGUUGAACGGAAACACGUGGCCAGCUACAUUGGUUCUAGACAACAAUGGCUGCAACAAUUAACCUGAAAUUUAAAAAUUAUUGGUCCAACUUAGAAAGAUAGAUUUGAUUUAUGUGUGGAGAUCUUGAACAGCUCAAGUCAACCCCACCAAGUUAGCAAGAAAGUAAGGGUUGGAUUCUGUUCUUCAUGUGAGGCCUAGGCUCUCGGCUCUCCUUAAGAGCUAGGUUAGGCUUGGCUUGUUGCAUACUAAUUACUAGUUAUUAUUAUUAUUAUUUUUAUAAUUAUUAAGAUUAUUGAAAUUUGUAUUUAUAUUUUUUCUUAUUAAAUCAUUUUUUGUUUAAAAAUGAUUUUUUAUAAAUGAUUAAAAACUUAUUGUUUGAUGUUUUUAGAUAUUUUGGCUGUUUCAGUUUCAUAUUCUAGUUUAACAAUUUUAAUUUUCAAAAUUUUAAAGUAAUAAAGUUAAAAAUAUAGAUAUCUUAUAUUUAAAAUAAAGAAAUUAAAAUAAUAAGUAUUCUAUAUUUAAAGCCAUUAAUAUUCCUUAUAUUUUGUAAAAUUCAUUUUAAUCGUUGAAUUUGUUGAAAAUAAAAGAAUAUGACCAAAAAUAGAAUAAAAAAUAUUCAUGUUUUAAAAUAAUAGUCGGCUACGGAUAUGAAAGUUGAACGCAACUAUGUAGUCAUCGAGGGACAUUAUAUUAAAGGCAAAUUACAAUAUAUCAAAUUAGCAUCAUGCAAUUUGGACCGUUGAAAGUGCAUACUAAAAUUUAGAUCAUUGGAUAAAAGUAUAAAUAUAUAAGACCAAGUAUGAACAAAUGAAAUUGGGAAGAAAUAAAUGAGAGUAAGACAAAAAAAUACGAAAAAAAUUUGAAUAUAAAACAAUAAGACCUAAAAGUGCCUACAUAACAUGAUGUGAUCAUUUUUUGGCAUGUACACGGGUACUAUCAUGGGACCCUAUGUUAAAAUGUGACCAUCCUUGUCAUAUCAUCCAUUCCACAAGCAUAUAGCCCCAUUCACAUUCUCUAGCAUUCCCUUUCUUCACAGAGAAAAAUGACUUCUUAUCUUCUUUUGUAACAACCAUUUUUCAUGCGACUUUAUCAAACAACAACAGAGAAGCGAUCAACUCAAAUCUCUCUCCUUGAUUCAUCUUGACAUUAACUAGAGGCCAUGAGGACUAGGCCAUCCAUGAAGCUUUUAAUGUUUAAAAAUUAGAUCAAAAUUUGGAGCGGAAAGUUAAUUGAUUUUUCAAAUAUUGGCCAAAUAGUAAUGAAAUAUUGAUGGGUUUUUACAACUCCAUAUGAUGGAAAUUAUUGCAAGAUUUUGGAGAAAAAAUUGUCAAUGUUUUACCAUUUAUUUUUUUGAAUUAACAUGGAACCCUAAUUUUUAUUUAUUUAUUUAUUUAUUUUUGGUGUUGGCCUCCUACCAUAUUCGAAAAAUUCACUAAAAGUUUAGUGGAUUUUUCUACAUUUAAACCUUGCUCUUAAGCAAAGUCAUUUCUAGAGUUGGAACUUGGUAGGUGAGGUUAGGUUUAAAGUGUAUCCAAGCUCAUCAUGAGUUUUUAGCCUCCCAAUCUACAGUCUAAUAAAACCAAAUUUCUAAACUAAUCAUAUUUUCAACCCAAACUCUUUUUAGCUUGACCUACUUAGUUUAACGCUUGGGUUGGGUAGAUUGAGCAAAUUAGGCAAAUAAUGUUGAAAAUAUCGCUUUUGACAAAAAUUUCAAUAUCCAUAUUUUAUGAAAAUAUCAAUAAAUUUUUUGAUAUAAGUGGAAAUGAUUGUUGAGAUUGGAAAAAUUGACCAAAAAUAUGAAAUUUUUGAAUGAAAAUUUGAGAAAUGAUAUCAAACUAAUGAUUGAUGUGGUUCAAAGAUACUCAAGGAUGAAGGAUUACCAUCUUGAUUUAAACAUUAUUAUUACCACUAUAUGAACUUUGCGUAACAAUGAUUGUAGAUAGCAACAUGCCAAACAUAGGUAUUUGGAUUUCUUGUCACCACAUCUAUAUGUAUAGGAAUAAUUAUAUCCCAUAAUCAUCAUAAGUUGAUUUUAUUUGAAAUUGUAGACCUUGUCCAUAACUAUAAUUACAAGGAGAAAAAAUGUUUGUCUCAUUAUAUGAGUUAUUGUGUUGACUCCCUACACUCAUAUAUUCAAAACUUUCUAAAAAGAACUCCUAGGCAUCCUUUGUUAGGUCCCGAUGUGCCUCCUCCCUAUGUAAGGCUUCCUAAUAACCCUUAUUACUAAACCUACUAUUCUAUACCAAUGGUUUUCAUCUUAUGUGCAAUAGGUGAAGUAGGCUUCAUUAGUAAAUAGGGUCAAUCGUUGUUGACUUUGGUCAUAUUAUCCAACAUCUCCUCAUCAUCACCAUCAUCUCGAUCAUCUUGAUCAUUAUCAUUAUCACCAUCAUCAUUAUAAAUAUCAACUUCUUCGUUAUCUCUUUGAGGCAUCAAAACUAUAAGUUAGUUUGUGCAACACUCAUCAAUUCAAAGCUAAUAGGAGUAGGUUGUGUUGGCAGUCCAAUUAUCAGCUUAAACAAACCAACUCCACUUUUAGUGUCACUUCUCCCAACUUUUUCAAACAUAACUUUAUCAACAUUAAUUCCAAACUCACAAGCAUGUGCAACUACUUAAAUUUACUAAAACUUUUAUAUUUCAUGUGUAACUCACAUAAUUUAAAGAAGCAAGGGAAGGACUUAGUGAUCAAACUACAGUUACAACUAGAAAUGAAAUGGUUUCAAGUAAGUUGUUAUUUGUUAACACUAUCAAAAGUACAAUGUUGAAAUCAAACGACUUUUGAUUAUCAAUAUAUCAAUGCAUAUUAUGUUAUUUCCUUUUCUAUGGUUGAAUAGUGGUUUAUGUAUGGGAGCCAAACUUGUACAUUACGGAAGCUGGCAAUAAGAAUCUCAUCACAAAUUGUAUCAUCUUCAACUUGUGAGAGGAACCAAAGCACAUUUGUCCUUAUUCAUACAAAACAACAAAAUCAUUUUGCUUAGGCAAAGCUUCAAUAAUUGGUUCUUGUUAUUACGACAUGAAGAUAAAGUUAUAAGACACAGAGGUCAAACAAAAUAAAGUGGUGAAAAUAAACUUCUUAGAUUUUCUAGACAUCUCAACAAAGCCAAGAGAAUUAUAGGACCAAUUGUCCUAAUGGGUAAGGCAUGUAUACUUGGAUGAUGAACAUAGGAAUCCCAAAAUGUAAUGACAAUAGAAAUAAGUUUGUACUAAAAUUUCAUUAAAGCAUAGGUCUCAUUACCAAAUUAACAUACAAGAAAAUAGACUUUUAGUGACAAACUGAAAUAAAAUUUAUGUUUGCUAAAUUAAAAAAAAAAAUCUAAGUUGACAAGAAAAUUAUGAUAUAUAUAUUGAUGUAAAGAACAAUUGUUAUACAUACUUAAAUGAGUAUGAAGAUGAGUUAUUAGAUGUGUUAGCCCAAGGGUUCUCCUAAUCGAGUUUUGAUGAUAACAAACCAUGGUUAAGUGACUAAUUGGUUUGAAUGGUAAAGAAUCUUAGGUAUAAAUUCGGAAAUUCAUCAAAAGAUCAAAUGGAUACAAGAUCGAGACUUUUGAAAGAAUUUUGAUAAUAGGAAACGAAUGUAAGAUGAAUGCAUGGGCGCACUUAGGUUUUUCAUAUUGUUUCAUGCAUAUUUGAAAACUCAGUUUAUCCUUUAAAAUUUCGAUUUCAUUAAAACCUGAGUUUUAUCAAAUGUACCUUAGGUAAAACGUGUCAAAAUUGACAUAUUAUUUUACUUAAAGACCUUGCCUAAGUGUUAGAAAAGAAAUGAAUUGAAAAAGAUAGGUUUUGGGGGCCAACCGGUUACCCUUGUCCUAUCGAGGUUCGGUUGAAGAGUGCCAAAAACUCUCUCUCUCAUCCAGUAGCUUCCUCUUACCGAUUGAGGUUCACCUCUUCCCGGUCGAGGUCCGGUCAACCUUUGGUUGAGGCAACGAUAACCUGCUAAAGCAUUAAAUACUCCAACGGCUAGUGAAUUGGUCGACCCCUAGCUAGACCGAUCGAGGUUGCCUUUUGCUGUUUUUGGCUCCCGAGCUUAGAAACCUAUAAAUUGAGAGCUCCACUUCAUUUAUGACUUAGACAACACUUGCAAUCAAUUGUCUACCUACCUGUUUUUGGCCUAAAAACUCUCAUUUAUUUCUUAGUGCAUUAAAUCAUCACUUGCAUAUCUUUUAGUGCACCCUUGUGAGUCAUCCUAGCUUUGUUUUGUAUUUGAGCUAUCUUUGAGCUAGGUUGAGGGAUUCAUUCUUGUAAAAACUGAGUGUUAAAGCCUUCAAGAGGUUUGAAUCUUGAAGAGAUUGUGUAAGAGCCCAUUGAAGCCGGAAUCCAAGUGUAAGAAGAUUGGAAGCUUGAUUGAAGCUUCAAGCUAGUGGAACCCUCACUCAGUUAGGAGAUUAAGGAGAGUGGAUGUAGGCAAGGAAGUGUUGAACCACUAUAAAUUUUGAGUUUGAAUUCUCUAACUCUAUCUCUUUAUUUCUUGUUUAUAAUGUGGUUGAAUUUGUUGUAUUGAAAAAGUUUUUGAAAAACCCAAUUCACCCCUUUCUUGGGUGUUUUUUUCUCCUUUAAGCAUAGCUUUUAUUUUCUCAAGAUGCAAUGAGAUGGGACUAGGAUGUCCAUGUUAGACUCAAGCUUUUCAUAACACAAGAUGGUGAUGUAGAAAAAAAGGUGGGGGAUGGGGGAAGAUAGAAUUAUAUCUCAUAACAUUUGUAUGAUUUUGAAGUUCUCCAAACAUGAGUAGUAUUGCAAUUGCUUAUAUAGAUGUUUUUGCAUGCUUAAGAUUGAAGUUGUGGUUACAAUUUUAGUAAUGUAUAUUUGAUAAAGGUUGGUAAGUCCAAAAGUAAAGCACAUUAAUUAUGUAAUAAUCAUGAAGCAUGUUGUAUGUAAUGCGGAGAGUUAUAUGAGUUGAAGAGAGAUAUGAUUAGAUUUGAGAUAGAGUCAAAGAAUGAGCUUCUUUCAAAUCCUAAGUGCUCAACUAGCAUACCAACUAACUUACUAGCUUAGAGUUGUGAGACUUAUUUUUAUUUUAUGUCAUUCAUCUCAUCUCCAUUGCUUUCUUGGGCUAAAAAUGGUCCUCCAAAAAUUAGUUUGGAAAAGCUUUUGAAAAUCACAAAAAAGUGAGAGCAACUAUCCGUAUUCUUAAGCAUGAUAAUAAGAUUAAAGUUGAUGGUAAGACCAAAGUCCAUGGUAAGAGACUUGACCUUUAGCUAUGAGAUUAGCCAUUGAAAGGUGCUUAAAAUUCAGUAAAAAAGGAAAUAAAACCAAGAUUUUUCAAUUAGAUUUGCAAAGAAAACUAAAAAAGCAAAAUAAGGCUCAAAAGAGUUUUUUUUUUUUAGGGAAAAUCACUUCGUGCAAGAUAUCAAACACUUUGUAGUUCUCAAAGUUCCAUUUAAAAAAUGGUUCAAAGCAUCUUCAAAAACAUCAAAACAAAGGGAAAAAAUUCCCAAAAAAUUAACAAAAGAUGGUCAAAGACCUCAAAUCCAAAUGAGCCCCAUAUCAUGAUUAACUCAAUGAGCUUCAAAAGGAGAAAACAACCCAACAAAUGAACAAAAUCAAAUCAAGCAAGGCUUGAAAAACAACCGAACAAUAAAUUAAUUAAGAGAACAAACAUUUCAUCAAGCAACCAAAAUAAAAAAAAAAGAAAAAAAAGAAAAAGAGAAUCCAAAGAUGAAAAACAAAUAGCCAAAUAACACAUGUAGCCUUUCAAUAUCUACAACUAAUAUAUUCAUCAUCUCAAGAAUUAGAAGAAUAUGAAAACAAACUAAAAAUAAACUUGUAAAAAUGGAAUAAAUAAAAAAGAGCUUACCAGGUGAUUUCUUCACAAGUGAAACACUUGGCUUCUAGUAAGCUUCCAAUUCUUCUCCAAGCUAAGCCUUCUUUAAAGCUUUCUCUUCUUCUCACUCUUUCUUUGAAAUUUGAUAGAGUUUCCCUUCAAAAAGGUUAGAGAGAAAUCCCCUUAAAAAUGAGCCUCAAGGCCCUUAUUUAUAGGGCAAAGAACGGUAAACAUUUUAACACAUAUCAUUCUCCACCAAAGCCCUUAUGUAUAGACUUUUGCUAUUUUCACCAUUGUUUUCUAAAGAGAGGAACCCUAACCAUCCUCUAGAGAGGGAAAGAAACCCACCAUUUUUUGUGCUAACUAUGAAAGGAGAGAUUAGGUGGAAAAUCAUUGGGUAGACAAGUUUUAUGAUGACCACUACAGUUUCAAAGUCUUUAUUAGAUCAAAAUUGAUAUGGAAACAUCCAAAGAGCAUGUAUGAAGCUUUCUAAUUUUAGAUUUAUAUUUCUUUUGGUUUUUGAAGCCAUAAUAUUUUGUUGUGUUAGAUUUAGAGAACCCUAGGAUUAGAUGCAUGCAUGGUCCAGGGCUCAGAAAUGGAUCAAUCUAGAGUUCCCAACAAGAAAGGAAAAAAAACAACAAGGCUUAAAAAAGGGGUUGAAACGAAGUAAAAAAAAGAAAAAUUUGGUCAACAAACAAGAGAAUCCGUUAAACCGGUUGUCUCAAUGUAGACCCUCCAUUUUGUCUUACUAGCACAUGUUAUUAUAUGUGUUUCUAUUCACUUCUUGUUGUCUUAUAGCCAUUUCAUGGUGGUCUAUUGUCACUCAUUUGAUUUACUAUUUUUUGAGCCACUUUUGGAGAUUUAUUGUUGAUGGAUUUUUUAUGGACCCCAAAUGCAACCUUAGUUGCGCCUUAGUUUAACUUACUUACUGUAUUUUAGGUUUAGUUCACUCAAUUCCAUUCUUAGUCUAACUCACUUAGUUAGAUUUAAGUUGCAUUUUAGGUUUAGUUCACUUAGUUGCAUUUUUAGUCUAGCUCAUUUAGUUACAUUUUAGGUUUAAUUCACUUAUUUGAGUUCUUAGUCUAGUUCACUUAGUUACAUUUUAUGUUUAGUUCACUUAGUUGCAUUUUAGGUUUAACUCACUUAGUUGCAUUUUAAGUUUAAUUCACUUAGUUGCUUUCUUAGUAUAGCUCGCUUAGUUGCAUUUUUGGUUUAAUUCACUUACUUACAUUCUUAGUCUAACUCACUUAGUUGUAUUUUAGGUUUAAUUUACUUGGUUGCAUUCUUAGUCUACUUCACUUAGUUGCAUUUUAGGUUUAGUUCACAUAGUUGCAUUCUUAGUUUGACUUAAUUGCAUUUAAAAUUUAGUUUACUUAGUUGCAUCCUUAGUCUAGUUCAUUUAAUUACUUGGUUACUUUUUAGAUUUAGUUCACUUAGUUGCAUUUUAGGAUAGGUCAUCUAGAUUCAUUUUAGUUCAUUCCAUUUAGGUGCACUUUAGGAUAGAAUUUGAUGUCACCUUGCAUGACAUGUGCAUUGAAGGUCUUUGGGGAAUCUUGGGAAGGAUGUGCGCAACCAUAAGGAGAUUUAAAGAUAAGGAAAUAUUAAGAUUUGGGGAGUCUUUGAGAUGGAUCCUCUUUGGAUAUACAUGACCAUAAGGAAAAGAUAAGGAAAUGUGAACUCUUUGGGAAAAGGAAGAUAUGUGUGGACUUGCAUUUUUCACGUGCGUUCCCACUCAAUCGACGAGACUUACUUUUAUUGGUGAAAAAUUAGUUUUGGAAAAGUCAGAGUCGCCAUUUAUUUUAUUUUAUUUUUAAAAGGGAAAAUAAAACAAGAAAGAAAACCCUAAAUAAGUGACUCCAUAGUUUUUGGAAAAACGUGUCUUUAAAAAACUCGAGUCUAGAUCUGGGGAUCAAGUUAUCUAUUAGGAAGGUACCUCUAAAAGGUAGCACCCUUCUAAGACGCUCAAUGGUCUGGCUGUUUCCUAGAUGCAGAUGUGUUUCACCAAAGCUUUUUCUCCGAUGCGGCCGAACUCGAACCCCAUUUCACGUGCUCAAAAUUUUCUUUCCUUCGUGCGGUUGCUUCCUUCUCCAGAAUGCUGGAUCUUCCCCUUCCAAGUUCUAGAAUGGUGCAGUUGCACCUUUUCUUCUCUAAGGUGCAGAUACGUCUUUUCUUCUCUAAGGUGCGUUGCAUUUUUUCUUCUCUAAGGUGAGGCUGCACCUCCAUUUCCCGUCUUUCAGCUACAAAUCGUGCUACCUCUCCUAGAAAAUCAAACUUUCAAAGCCCUCUCCACGUGCUGAAAAUCUCUUUCCAUCAUCUCAAUGAUCCUGCAAAUUGUGCCCUUCUCCUCUUUUCAAAGGCUCCGUCUCCCUUGCUCUCCAAUGGUGUAACUGCAAAUUUUUUUUUUUUUUUGGUUUUUUUAAAGGCACGACUUCACCUCUACUUCCUGUUUUCUGCCGCAAAUUGUCCUCACUCUCACUGAAAGCCAAACCUUUAUUAUUAUUUUUUUUCGCUCUCCUGUCAUUUUCUUUCUUCUUCCUAUUUUUUUUUCUCUAUCUCAUCCAGCUUCUUCACUCUCCAUUUUCCGCUCGUUGACUCCACCAACAUGGGAAGACAACUCACCCGCCCGGAGAGAGCCUCAAUCGUCCGUGUCAUUCCAGCAUGAUCGGAACUCUCUAUCUUCUCAAAACAUAGCCCACAUUCUGUCCCUAUACAUCUGCACUCCUUCCCAUUGACUUCAAAACAAUGUGUAGGUCCUUCAAAUGUCCCCAUUUUGGUUGGUUCAGAUUACCAAAUUCAUCAAGAGGUGCAUCAUAAUAUAUGAUGUCAUAAUGUAUGGACCACCAACUAUUCUACCAAAAUUGGUACCACCAUGAUACAUGUAAUAGUCUUGGAAUGUGCCGCCAGUUUUGUAAGUAUUCUCUAGAGUAUUUAUUUGAAGUAGGAAAAUUUGGCCCACUAAAGAGAAGACGAGUGAUACAAUUGUUGCUAUCCUUAACCAUUUUCUCUAUCUUCCUUGGAAACACUACACCGCUAAAGAAUUGAAAUGGAACCUUAGAAACAAUCCCAAAUAAGAAAAUAUGAAUACCUAGAUAAAAAGUAUAACACAUAAAAAAUACAUAUUAGACACAUUUAAUAAAAAAAGAAAUUAAACUAAUGCAACAUAUAAUAAUAAUCGAAGUGUCAAACUCAAACCACCAAAAAAUAAAAAAAUUCAUUUCAUCCAAUCAUAAAAUAAAAUAAAUAAACAAAAAUACAAAUAAUAGUAAUAAUGAAAUAAUAUAAAAUAAGUCAAAACUCACUUAAUCCUAAAAUCAAAAUAAAAUAAAUAAACAAAAAUACAAAUAAUAAUAAUAAUAAUGAAAUAAUAUAAAAUAAGCCAAAACUCACUUAAUCCUAAAAUCAAUAAAUAAAAUAAAUAAAUAAAGAAAAACAAGAAAAUAAAUCUAAGUGAAACUAAACCUAGAAAAGUGCCUAGGUGAGCCUACAGUGGUGCCUAAUUGGCCAAGUGUACCUAAAUGGGCGUAGGGUACAUAAGUGGGUCUAAGGUGGUGCCUAAUGGGCCAAGUGUACAUAAAUGGCCCGAUGGUGCCUAAAUGGGCCUAAGAAGGUGCCUAAUGGGCCAAAUGUACCUAAAUGGACCGAGGGUGCUUAAGUGGGCCUAAGGAGGUGCUUAAUGGGCCAAGUGUACCUAAAUGGGCUUAGGGUGACUAAAUGGGCCUAAGGUGGUGCCUAAAUGGGCCAAAUGUACUUAAAUGGGUGUAGGGUGCCUAAGUGGGCCUAAGGUGGUGCCUAAUGGGCCAAGUGUACCUAAAUGGGCCAAUGGUGCCUAAGUGGGCCUAAGGAGGUGCCUAAUGGGCCAAGUGUACCUAAAUGGGCAUAGAGUGCCUAAAUGGGCCUAAGGGGCCAAGUGUACCUAAAUGGACCUAGGGUGCUUAAGUGGGCCUAAGUCUAAAUUAGGACUGCUAAGAGUCACAAUAGAGUUAGAUAAAUCCCUCAACCAAAGUCUCUAAGGUGGCUUAGAGAAUAUAGGCUACACGAGUAGUGAUGGGCCACCAGGGUAUUGUUGUAAAAUGCUGAACAAAUACCUAAUAGGACAUGUGCUAAGAGGGCAAACUGGAGGGUCUACAAUAUGCAUGACAAAUGAGAAGAUUGAGAGGGAAAAAUAUUAUUUUGGAAUAUAAUGAUGACAUUGGUUUUUGGAUAUUUGGAGUACUCUCAUGGGAAGACAACUUUGAAAUUUUAAAAAGGAAAAAGAUUUUUGAGAUUAAGAACUCUCUUAAGGGUACGACUGUUGCCAUUGAGAUUGAUAUACAUGCAUAGGGAGCAUUGAGAAUUUGGUGAUAUACAACAUAGGAGAUUUUUUGAGAUUGAAGAGGAUUCAUAGAGAUACACGACUAUCAUAUUGAGAUAGGACAAAGAUUCAUGGAAAAAGGACAAUGUUCACAACAUGAAGGCUUUUUUGGAAAGAAGAAAAGAAUUGUCUUGAAGACAAGACACAACAUUGAGGAGUUUUUGGAAAAGAGGAGGAAUAUUUUGGAACAACAUUGAAUGGGAUUUUUUGAGGUAGACAUGAUUGCCAUUGAGAUGGGGUUCACAAAAAAGAGAUUUUUAAAGAGGAGAUGACUUUUUUUAAAGGGGGAUUUGUGGUUGCUAUAGAGAGAUAGAAGAGAUAGGACUCUCUUUGGUACAAGUUUUUGGAAUUUUUGAGGAAGAGAUGACUUUGUUUUUUUGGGACUGUUAGUUGCCAUAAAGAUUGGAAAGAAAAUUUAAAGUCUUGGAGAAGCUAAGGGCAUCACGACAUAAGGAGAAGAGGGAAGAUCAAUUUGGAUUGAGAAAUGAAGCAAAGUUUCAUAUUUUUUUAGUGGAGAAAAGAACAAGUUUCAUCUUUUUGGAGGAAAGCUAUGAUUCUCUUUUAUUCUUUUUGCAUAUCUUAAUUAUGAUAAUCUCUCUAUCUUUUAUUUUUUUUCCAUCUUACUUAGAUAUGAGAAUUAUCUUUGGUUGGUGUGGAUGCAUAGGCCACACAAAUUGUUGGUAUUUAAUAAUUGGAUGAUUGAUUGUUUAUGCUUAGGAUCUAUUUCACUCAUUGUUUUCCUUAUUUUUUUUUUUUUUUUACUUAGUUUAAGCCUAUUUGAUAUCACAUGAGAUGAGGUCUUGCAUCACAUGAUUUCUUUACUUUUGGUUCAUUUUAUUUGAUUGUUUCUUUGAGAUGUUAGAGUUUAGGUUUAGAAUUGCCUCUCACACAUUCACACACACACACACACACACACACACACACACACACCUACUCUUACCUUGAAUUUUGUUUUCUUGUUUUCAUCCUAGGAUCCUAUGUGAAUUGAUUGUUUUAGAAAAUUUUCAAGGGUUUUUGAAAUUUUUAACUAAGAAAUAGAAUAAGAGUUUGAAGACUUGGUAUGGGAAUAAUGUAAGGGGAUUUUUGAAUUGUUAUUGGAUAAGAAAUUGAGAUCCUUGGUGUGAGGGAUUAGCUAAAUAUGAAUAAUGUUCUAUUUGGUGGAGGUGUUUGAACAUGGCAUUGGAUAUGUUAAGAGAACUCAUGAUAGACACAGAUGAGAGGACAAAAAAAAAAAAAAAAAAAACUUAAGGAAAAACAACAAGAAAAUGAUAUGUAGUUCUAGAAAGACAAGUCAUAGACAAACCUUAGAAGGUUAAGGCUAAGGUAGUGUACGUUAGAAUCUCUUGAGAACAACAUCAGAGAAGGAUGUUGGUGAACACUAACUUUUAUGCCAAGAGUUAAUAGGAGGAAAAUGCAAAAAAUAAAGGAAUUUUAAAAAUGCAAAGGUUUAGCCUUCUAAAAAUACCUUACCUUCGUCCCUUGAAAAAAAAUGUGGCAUUAUUUAUUUCAGACUAACAUCAAGAAUAGGAGCACCAAACUUAACUUGCCUGGUGCUUACAAUACAUGUAAGAGACUUAGUGCAUGGACUUCUAAGGGCAACAAUAAUUGUAAAUACCAUAACACCGAGUAUUUGGCAAAGUAUCAAAGUUCUAAGAGCCUUAUUUCAACAACUUUGAAGAUACUUCCACACUAAUAGAAUGCAAUUUCUCAAAACAAGGGAUAUGGCACCAAGGCUUGUCAACUAGCUAAGAUAUUUCUAUCAAAACAAGAUCUUGUAUUCACAAUCCCAUAAUUAUUAAUUAAGAAUCAUGGGAUUGAUCUAUAAAAGCUAAAGGUUCGAUCAAAGAUAGACAAAAUUGUUAACCAAUUGAGUGUUACAAUACAUAUCACAAAGAAUUAUGCAUAAAGGUAAUCUUUACUUGCUUUAUUUUGAUUUAGAUGUAUGAAAACAUAUAUACAAUGAUUGAGAAUGCUUAUAGUAAUGUUGAUCUCAAUUGUCCUAAACUAUAGCUACCUCUUAAAAUGAAAAGAUUGUGUAUUACAUGAGACUUUUAAAAAUAAUAACAAUAAAAAAGAAAUAUGUACCUUUAGUCCUUUCCCUAAAAUAUAUAUAACAAAAAUUCAUUAAAAAUUCAAAAUAAAGAAGUUCAUAGAUAAAGUUUAUUUUUCCUAAAAGAAAUUUUGCUAUUGCUUAUUAUCUCUUAUCAAGAAUAAAUAGGUAAUAUUCAAGUGUUUCAAAAAAUAAACCUCCCAACUAUAUUUCGUGCUCAAUUGCAUGAUAAGAAUUGAAGUUUAUUACAUGGGAUUUGAUUUCGUUUAAAAGCGACAACAAAGGAAAAUUAUUAUGGGGGUGCAAUAAUCCAUUGACAUGUGGAUUGAUACUAAGGUAACACAAGUGGUGCAUGAUUCGUUCCCAAUUGGUGUCUCAGCUGAUUCAUGUCCAGCUGGUGCUCCUUGACUGAGGGAGUGAUCAACAAAAUUUAUAACCUAUUACACCAUGCAUUAGGAUAGCUUUAGCUAAUAUAGCAUAGUGACUCUAGGAUUGUUCACUGGGAAGGGUUUUCAACUCUCAAUUGAUACCAAUUCAAAGUUAAAUUGGUGCUUUUUCAUUUCAAGGUUAGCUUAAGAAAUAAAACACAAACUUUGUUUAAAUGAGGUUUUGUUUAAAGCUAACUAAAAAGAAAGUAAUGGAAAUUACUUAUGAAGAAAAACAUUCCUUGGAGGUUUAGGUUCAUUGGGGAGGUUCCUUAUGCAAAAACAGAGCUCUAGUCAUUUGGUUCAUUUCCUCGCAUUAGAGAAUUAACAUAUAGUCAAUUCUCUAACCGGUGUUGUACAGAUGUAACCUUUAAAUGGAUUUCGGCUCUAAUUCCCUCUCACUGAUGCAACUUGCAAUGGCUCGUGCCUCUCACCUAGCAUUUGCCAUUCAAGGUAAUCUUUAACUUUGGACUUCCCUUCUCAAGCUCGCAAGAGAUAACUAAUGGAUGUCUUCUUGGAGUCCAAAAGCUUACCAAGUGUUGGCAAUUCUAGAAAAUCCUACCUCCAAGUCACUUCCCAAAAGCUCGCAAGAGAUAAACAAGUGCAUCUCCAUGGACGGAGAUCACGUGCCUUACCAAGUGUUGGCUCAAGUGAAUUGAAGGUGUUUUAAGUUAACUAAAAACAUAGAAAUCAUUAAAGGAUCACACUUUCUUUUCAUUAAUGGCUGAAACCACAAAGCUAUAAUUUCUUGCACUUGGAACCUUUCCCGGCAACCCUAGCUCCAAGGAACUAAAAGUCUAGCCACUCAUUCUCUGAGGAAAAUUCCUCAGAGCUUGUUUGGCUAGUAAGAAAAAGAAUGAGAAAACAAAAAUAUAAAGGAAAAACAGAGCAAGUGCUCUAUAAAAUAUAUUUCUUGCAAAAUUGUACAAAAGGAUGCGUCUGAGAACAAGCUCCCAAAGAUAUAUGAUUGUAAAGAAAAUUACAACUAUAUAUAAGAGGUUAUUCACUCCUUUUUCUUGCUUAAAGACUAAGGAAUCCUAUGAUAGGUGGAUUACAAGGAGAGUUUGGGGAUUUAGACAUCAAAUAUCUAAAGCAAAAUAUCCCAAAAUAUCUCAAAAAUGUCGGUCGGAAAUAUCAGGAAGCUUGAGGAGAACAUCGUGGCACUGUGCAAAAUGGCUGCGAAACUCUCUGGGUAAGCGCUGUAAAAGGAUCUGGACAUGUCUGUCCGGGGAAGUUGAAACGUCCUCCUCUCCCAUCCAGCUGUGAGGUAUCUGGAUGUAACAUGUCGGCGCACGGAAUUCCGGAUGUGAAAUGUCGGCAGACAGAACUCUUCCCCAGGUGGACUGAGCUAUGCUGCGCAAGGGGGACCGUCUGCGUGUGCAAGGUGUAGGGACCCCUCUCCCGGAUGACACGGAGUGCGCAAGGCUAUCCGGAUCAACUCCAUCCGGAUUUCCCAAGAGGACACGCGGCGCGCUCCCUUAUCCGGAUUCCCUCAGGUUGGAGCACACAGCACUCGUGAACAUCACACCCGGACGAUAACAUAUCCUAUUCGGAUAUGUUGUCCGGGUCACUGACUAAAGUGAGCAAGCCUUCCUACGUCAUUCGGACAACCUGCCACAGACCAUGUUCCGCCACCAUCCUGUCCGGACGCCCUGUCCGGACAUCUUUGCCAUGGAUUCCAAAGAACUCUCCUCAAUCUCUGAUUGCUUUCGUGAUAAAAAAGCUAUCAAAACACCAAAAUUUAACACAAUUUGAUUAGAAUUGAUUGCAAGGGUCCUUAAUAUGUUAAUUGGGUUAAAAGGUGAUAACUACUACUCAAAAGUAUUUAAAAGAGUUAAUUACAGACUAUCAAAUAACACUUUUUGAGUAGUAAUCAGUGCACCACCAUAAGGUUGCAUAAGAGCCACAUAACCCCAAAUGGGUACUCCAACCACCAUCAUAGUACAAUAAAGUUGACUUCUAUUAUCAAUAUGGCGAUAUGAUUUCCCACAUGAAAAUGGAGUAACUUACAACCACCCUCUAAGGGGCACCUUUUUCCACUUUCAAGGAUGAAAAUAUCGGUGAUUAUUGAUACAUCAGUACUUCCAUUUUACGGAUAUAUCGAUGAAUAUUUUGACACAAAAUAUCAAUGAAAUUAAAAUUGAUAAAAAAUUAUAAAAAUGUAAUAAAAAACUCUUAAAAAUAAAAUUAGAAGUAUAAUAUAUAUUUUAAAGUUGUUUUGUUCAAGAAAUUGAUAUAUGUAUAAUAUAACCUAUCAUAUUUGAUAAUAAUAUUGUAUGUGCUAAGAAAAAAAUAUGAAUUUCAUAAGUAUACAUUUAUUAUUAAAUUAUAUCAAAUAUUAUUCGAUAAUAAUAUUGUGAUAUUUGAUUAUAAUAUGUCUAAUUUAAAAAUAUAUUUAAUAUUUAAAUUAUAAUCCAUUUAAUUCAAUUGUAUUAAAUGAUAUAAAAUAAACGAUGAUAUAUGUAUAAUUUUAAUACUUUAUUAAUAUAUUAAUGAUAUUAAAAACAUUAUUAAGAAAAUUAUCAUGAUAAUUUUUAUAUUUUUGGUAUUCAAAUAGAUGAAAAAUUUUCAUUUAAUCAUAAAAUAAUUAUAAUUAAUUUGUUCUUUAAAAUAUUUUUUUGAAUUUAUGUUUAUAUGAUGAAUUUGAGUUUAUGUAUAUUUGGUGCAACUUAUAUAACAAGGGACAAACUUCCCCCAAUGGUUGGCUCAACGCAUAGUAAACCCACACAGGUCGUAUUGACCCAUGUUGACCACCCCAAAAUAUUGCAAAAAAUCAAUAAAAUAUUGAAAAAUCGGCAAAAUUCACGAUAAAUUGUCAAAAUAUCGAGGUCCAUCGAUACUCUAUAUUUUAAUCACUGCCCACCAUCAAAGGUUGUAAUGACCAUAGGCGGUGAAUGGACUCAAACCCUUAGGCGGUGAAUGGACUCAAACCCUAACAAGCGACCCCAUCAUUAAAAGGAAGAUUGCUUUCCAAAGCAAGGCAGGUGAAACAAAUUCAUCCUUUUAUGUUAACCCUCUUUCCCAUCCAUGCCUAACUUGAUCGUCACAAAGGGGUUGGCCUAAUCAAUCCAUCACCUAUCUAACACUCAUUAUGGAAAUUAAUGUGUAAAGGAAUUCCAAAGAUAACCUCAAGUGGAAGAGGGAUGCAACAAUUCUAAAUUGCAUCCUCAUAUGCAAAAAAUAGGACUAAAUCAAUGUUUCUACAAGGAAGAGUCAAGCUUGACUUCAAUUUAUUGUUUUGUCUUGGUCUUUUUAAUAUUCCUAAUAAAAAGAAAUAACAUGAAAACGUCAACAAAUUUUCAAUUACUUCAAUUAAAAAAAUCAAUUAGUACAUAAAAAUAAUUUUUUUCUUCAAAAUUAAAGGCAAGAGAUGAUUUUAUAUUUUUGCCCUAAUUUUAAUUUAUUUUAAAUCAAUUUGAGUGUUGAAAAUUUAGGUAACAAAAAUUUGAUUAAAGAACUAUAUAUAUAUAUAACAUAAUUCUUCUUAAAAAAAUAAUAUUUUUUUUAUAAAAAAAUUGUUUAAAAAAUUGAGAUAUUAUUUUCUCAAAUUUAAAAAAUUUAAAAAAUAAUUUUUAAAGAUAUAAGAUAAGUUCAUACUUCUUUAAAAGAGUUGUUAUAUUUAAUAUAGAAAUUAUUAUUAUUUUCUAGUUUUUUUUUUUUUAAAAAAAAUGUCCAAACAAACAAUUAAUUAAUUUCAAAUAAUUUUGAUAAUGCCCAAGUACACUAAUGGAAUUAAUAAAAUGCUUUAUACAUAAUUAAUGGGAAUGCGCCAUCAAAGUCAUGGGAGUUUUUCCGUCCCACCAAGAUACCACCGAGUAAUACACACGUACAAAGUGAGGUUAUUACGUAAUAAUAAAUAAAAAUAUAGGUCAAUUAUUGGAAGACAAGUACUGCGUAAAUGUUGAGCUUUAGUCAACCAAGUCGUUUACGAGAUUUCCCCACCAUGACAGCAGCUGAAGACAUGGAAAAACAGGUGUAUGACUCAGUGUCCCAAGGACUGUGUCAAAGAUGGAAUACCCUAGGGUUGAGGGAGUAGGGAACAAAGUGGGUCAGCUCGAUUGACUAUACACAUUGCAUGCAUUACUAAAGUGGUAAGGUUUCUGGAUCUCUAUGUCGGCGUUGAUAAUUGAAUGGGAAAGUAUUAAUGGUUCUAGACAACAGUGGCUGCACCCAACCCCAAAUCUCAAAAACCUCAGCUGAAGCAAUUCAUUGAAUAGCUCAAAGCCGAACCAUCCAUUCUUAGCAUGAGCUGCUUCCGACUCAUUCGCAUUCAAGAUAGACACACCUUUGAUGUAAUUAGGAGAUAAGAAAUGGUUACCUCAUGAGUAGUCCGAGAAAUUUUGGAGAAAAGAUAAAAAAAAAAAAAAAUAGAGUCAGGAACGCAGAAGAAUGUAGUCAUUCUCUUUUGCCCUAGUUCUCCAGCUCUUGAAGUUUUAAGAGGUCAUCUCGAAUGGAUUUUUAAUUGCCUCAACACAGGGUGAAGUAUCCGCCAAGCAAUCAAUGAUUUUUUUCUAAAAGAUGAAGCUCAAUAUUUGGAAAAAUCAAACCAUGCAUGGAUUUGGAUAAAUUAUAAUGGGAUUUCCUAUUUUAAUGCUUUAGAUUUCUUCUUAAAAAUCUGAUUUUCUUUUAAUUAGGCAUUGAUUCAUUCCUAUCUUACUCCUAAAAUUAGACACACAUGUGUUAGGUGAUCUGAUAUCCGUUAAAACUUUGGGGUGCAUGCAUCUAAUUAAGAUUCUUGGAAUAACUGAAGUGAUUAAAAAUAAAAUUUUUGCCUCAUAGGGUGGUUUAAAAAUCAUAUAUGAGGUUUGAAUGUUCUCAAGCCCAAAUUCUUUUUCAUAGAAGAUGUCUUGAAACCUCACAAUCUUCCACCAUUAUAGCUCCUUCUUUGAUCCAUGAUACUUGUGUAGAAUGACUACUUACUUCUUAAGGGAGAGAGAUGGAGGCUAGGUUUCCAAAAGAUCAAUUGUUUGAAAGAUUAAAGUCUAACCCUAAAACCCAUGAGGUUUAUAUAGAUUCUCCUAUGGGCUUAAGUGACUUUGGCCCAACAUGGAAUUGGAUCACUUAAUUUAGCCCAAUGUGGGUUUGGGUCACUUAAUUUAGCCCAACGUAGGUCAAUUGAUUUUGCCCAUGAUGUCUUAAUUAAUUAAUUAACUCAAAUGAGCUCCAAUUAAUUAAUUAGCCUACACAAAAAAAAAAAUCAUCAUAAAAUCUUGUGCAAUGUUAUGCUAUUACCAAAAUGGAUUUAUGCACAUAAAUGAUUAAUUCUCCAUAAAACCUUAAAAUAAAUAAUCAUAAGUUUUUACACAACCUUACGCUUUUAACAAACCACACUUAUGCAAAAAUGAUUAAAUCUCUAAUUUCCCUCAAACCUUUGUGCCAACAAAGACUUUGAACUUGAGUGAGGACUACUAGGACCCAUAGGAAAUACUCACUUUCUUAUAAUCUAAUUUUGACAUUGAUUCAACACUCCACUAAAGAGAGUCAACUCCAUUUUAAUAUCUAAUUUCAUUACAUUAAGAUAAGAAUUAAUUAAAUCCGGUUGAAUAAUUUUCUCCAAUUUGUGACUUCCUAACAUACAAACCCCUUAUAAAUUGAUGCUCUUGAUCUAACAAGAUAACUGCUAUCAACCUCUUAAGAUUACCACAAUACUUGAGUUUUAGAUCUUCCUAUUAUGUAAUCAAAUGAUAUUCUCUAGCUCACUACGAAAAAAAUGCCUUUUAUGUUUAUUUUUGAGAAAUACUUAGAAUCACCAUUAAAAAAAAAUAAAGGAGAAAACAAAGUAAUAAAAUUAAAACCCUAAGUAACUCCAACAAUGGAAAACAAGGCAAUGGCUACAAAACCUAGAUAUCUCCAUUCCUAUCCUUGGACCAUUAGGGUACAUGUAAACUAUCCUAGGAGCUCUAUAGAUCUAACAAGUAGAAACGCAAUAUACAAUAAAACUUAGAUCUUGAGAAAAGUGUGUUUUCCCUAUGAUUUGGAUGUUUCCAAUUCAAAUCUUGUCAAUGAAGAGUCAAUAUGGAUCUUGCAAACUAGUAAAUCUUGCACCCAAUAGCUCCUUUUUGGAUCCUGACACAAGAGAAGGUUGUUAGCAUCUUAGAUAUAAGCAAUAACAUCAAUACCAAUUUUUUUUAAAAAUUGAUCUUUAGGGUUAAAAUACUAACCUUUAGGUUUGAAUGUUCCCAAAUUUUAAAUUCCAAGUAUUGAAGAUAACUUUGAAGUUGUUGGAAGUAUUAUAAACCCACGAUCUUUCGUCCGAUGACUCAACCUUGUUUUUGGCACACUUCCUAUGGGGAGGAAAAAAUGGUGGAGGUUAUGACUCUCUUUCUCUUUGGAUGGUGGAAAACAAAAAGAGAUGGAAACCCUUGCCCCUAGGGGGUAUUUAUAAGGUUCAUAUAUAAUUAGGUUUAAGUGACUUAAACCCACAUGGACUUGGGUUACUUAAUUUAACCCAAAUUGAGUCAUAAUUGAUUAAUUAACCUAAUAAGAUCUACUAAUUAAUCAAUUAACAUAAUUUAGAUACUUGGUUCACUUACCCUUGUGCAAUCUUAUGUAAUUACCAUAACACCUUUGUGCACAAAAGUAAACCUAGAACUAAUUUGACCAUUCUAACCCAUGCUAAUAAGAUAUAUGAACCCAAAGCAAUGACCACUAGGACUUAUAAGAGUACUGGCUCCCUUAUAAUCCAAUUAUGAAGUUGAUUUAACAUCUCACUAUAGAGAAUCAGCCAAGCUCUUGUAACCUAUAUAAAUAACAAUGAGACACUAUGUGCUUAGGUCCAUGACUUGCUAUCCAUUGCGUUCAGUCUCCUUAUGAACUAGUGACCAUAGUCUAACAAGGUGAAAACUAGCUAUUAGCCUUUCAAGACUACCUCUACUAUUCUUGAGUUACAGAUCCCCCUAUUAUGUGUUCAACUGACAUGUCUUAACUCUUAAAGAGUCAAUGUCAAAUUCCACUUAAGGAACUACUAUAACCAUAAUUUUCAUGAACACAACUCCUUAGAAUCACCUAGGGGGACACUUUGUCUUAAUCACAUGAGAUAUCAUGGUGCCUCUAUUGAGAACACCUAUUACUAUAGACUUCUAUCAACAGUGACCUAACUAAUCCAUAGGGAAUAUAUGAUCAGUUUACAAUUUCACUCAUAGCUCAAAACUACUAAUAACUUUAACACAAGUUCAAUAUUCUCUUAAGGUUGAGAGACAACAUAAUGAAGCAUCUUGGUGAGGUCAUGACUACUUGAUAGCCUUAAGUCAUGACUUGUCUAAUAUGUAACAUUACACACUAGUGCACUCAUUAUAGGAAACUCAUCCCGAUUGCCAAGACCACUCAUUUCUCUAAUUAGGAGGUGAUGCACUACAACCUCUAAUGGGUUGCUUAGACCCACGAAUCGACUGUGAAUAAGUCAUCUAUUUGUAAGGAACCCAUGACUUGAAUCUUCUGUGCAACUUGUAAUGCAGCCAAGUCAUAUACAAUGAAAAAGAUACAGACAAGAAAACUUAUAUAGUGUAAUGUAUAGAAUAAGGAUAGAUAAAAGUGAAACUAGAAUAUCAUUAAAUAAAUAAUGAAUUCUAAAUUUGUUACAUCAUGUCAUACUUUUAAGGGCUCUAUCAUAAUAAAAGUGAAAUCCUCUUUAAAGAGGUAGAGGUUAGGGCUUUUCUCUCUAGAAAUGUAAAUGACAAGAAUGUUGAAGCCUUAACCCCUUAGGAGGUUUAUAUAGGUUUUUUGCUAGCUUAGGUAACUUAAUCCAACCCACUUGAAUCUUAAUUAAUUAAUUAUCCCUAUUGGGAUCCAAUGAAUUAAUUAGUCUGGUUCACAAAGACCAUGCAUAAGCUCUUAUGUAGCCCUAUGUAUUUACCAAAAUACUUUUAUGCACUCAUGAAUUUAGAACCCAAAAAUCCCUCAAUAACUAUGCUAUUAUGGAUAUGAGCUCAAGUACAAACCAUUAGGACCAAUUGGAAAAUAUAGGCUCCUUCAUACUACAAUUCUAAAGAGCAUGCAACAUCUCACUACUGUAGAGAGUUAAUUAUACUCCAAUAUCUUAUGAUAUUAUAAUGAGAUACUAACCUCGAGUUUAUGACCCAUUAUUCACUGUAUACAGACUUCUUAUGAAUUGAUGUUUAUAAUCUAGCGAAGUGAUGAUAUUAACCUUUUAAUAUUACAUCUAUAAUCGUUACAAACAUUGGUCUCUCUUACAGAUUUAUUUCAGGCUCUGUUGUUCCCUGCUCACCUAGGGUAGGUGGCAGUUGAGCCAAUGGUUCUUUUAGCAUAUCUUCCUCUUCACCUGGUGUUGAAGGCAUUUGGGGCACUUGAGGCAUAUCCUCUUCUUCAGCCCUUUCUUCUACAGCUAGGAGUAAUCCACCCCUUCUCAAUUCAAUUUCAAUUUUCUUCAUCUCAAUUUUCAUUUUAAUCAAAUUCUUUUCAUAGUCUUUCGGUCCAUGUGUUGCUCUUUUAUUGUUACUUCCUCUUCAUCCUCAGCAAAUGGGUGCCUCAUGGCCAUCUGAUAGGUUGUGAGAAAUCUGGGUAUCUUAAGUUUUGCUUUCUUAGCACUCUCUAGCCUCUUCAACUGAUUCAACUCGUAUGAAUGGAUGAAGUUUUUCUCAAUCAGUGUUAGCAGGUCGGCAUAUUCAUCUGUAUAAGUUGCAUACAGGCCCCCAACUUAAAAUGCUUCCUCUCUUGUUCAUGGCCAGUGGGGUUAAUAUUGUGGCAGAUGACAUGGUCAACUAGCUUCUUCUGAUAGGGGGCCCACUUUCAUUUGGUGUAACUUUUCUGGGUCUUCCAGCAGGAAUAUUCAUUUAAGAUCUCUUCCACUGAGUGCUUCUCAGGGGCUUUAAGACCUAAGUCAACAAAGCACUCAGUGGCUUUAAUACCUAAGUCAACAAGGUGUUGGCCUUGCAGCUCACUCAGAGCUGCAAUCUCUGCUCUGGGCAUCUUGUACCUAAUGCCAUCAACUCGGAAGAUAACGAGUCUGUCAGCAUGGUCCAAAUUCUCUACCUUUAAGCUCUGAUAGAUUAACCUCACUAGCCAUGGGUAGUGUUACUUGGGCAGUCCACUUGUCAUCAUGCCCAUAUUGUAUUUAAACGGGAUCUCUGCAGACGACAUCGCCUCUUCCAUUUCUGCUAGUUGCAGAUCUUGAUAGGUUUUUUGGGAUUAGAUAUCUCUCAUUUGAUAAUCUUUGUAGGGUACUUCUCUGGCUGGAAUAGUUUCUUAAGCCAGAGCUGGUUGUUGGGUAGCCAUCUAAUCUGGAAUCUCCUCAGCAGGGCUGAACAGGAGCUGGAGCUUCAGGUUGGAUUUCUGGUUGUUAGGAUUUUUACCUUCCUGCCAUGAACACUCAAAAACUGAUCAAUGGAGUUGUUAGAGUUCAUAUAUUCAAUGUGUUGCAACUUGUUAAUUUAUUUUUGUUCUUUUUCAAAUAAUUGCUUUCCUUCAAAAUAUAUAUAUAUGUAUAAAGUAGGUUGUGAGGUUUAAUUUAAGUGACAAAGAGAUUGAUCUAAGUGAAAUUUUCUAUAUAUUUUAGAAAAUUUUUAAAAAUUAAAAAUUAAAAUUAUAUUGAAAAUAAAUUUAAAUAAAUUCUAACACCCAGUUUGUGGUUGAAAAUAGACACUAUUUCAAUAAUUAUAAAAUUGAUAAAAACCCAAUGUAAUUGCUUAUACGAGUAUCAAUUUUAUUUUUUAUAUAAGUUAAUUAUACUUCUAUAUUUUGAUGUGUAAAAUAAACUUCUUUUUUGGUACACUUGAUUAAUGGUUACUAUUAUUAAGCAAUUACAAUAAAAGUAGAUAAUUUUUAUAGAGAAAUAGGUAUUGAGCUGUUUGUAAAGUAUGUGUAACAUAAUAUUAAGUAUAGAUGACAAUAGGGUAGGUUUUUUAAAGUAUCACCCCACCAUGCCCCUAAUGAGUUAGGUUUAAAAUUUAAAUAAACGGAUUAAGGGUAGAUUUGAGAUUUUUUUUAAAAACCCGGGAUUGGUUCGAGGUAGAUUCAAGUAUUGACUUAUCCCCACCCCACCUCGAUUAUAUAUAAAAUUAAUUUAAUUUAAUUUUUAUAUUUAUAUAUUUAAUAUAAUAAUAAUAGAAAACAUUUUUUAAUAAAAUAAGUUAUAAAAAAAUUAUAAUAUUUUUAAUUAUUUAUAAAAUAUAUUUAUUUUAAUGUAGUUAAAAAUAUUUUAAAUAAUUUAAAAGAAAAACUAAAAACUUUUAAAACAAAAGUUGAAUGGGUUGAGGCAAGACGAGUAUGAGAAAUUUGCAUACCUGCUCUGCCCAUUUAAUUUUUUAAAUGAGACAAAAAUGAUAAUUAUUUUGAAUAAAUGGGAUAAGAUUAGGAUGAAGGUGAUUCGUCUUGAACCUGCUCUAUUAUUAUCUUUAAUCUUAAUUUGAAAACUUCUAUGGGAUGUAAGCUUCAAUUUGAUGUUGCUUGACCAUCAACAUCGACCAACUUAUUUAAGUUGUUAGCCUACAUCAAUUGAAUAUUGCCAUACAUUAAAAGUAACGAUACUUGGAAAAACGUCAUUAUACUGCUAGAUUUUCAUUUUUAUAAUGCAAUCUCAAUUUAACCUUAAUCAUAAAUAAUAAAAUCCAUAUGGAUUUUUUUCCAUGAGCGUUUAUAUAAAAAUUUAGACCACAUGCGCGGAGUUUUCAAUGCAGCAAUAUAGUUUCACUGGUGAAUGCUUUAUAAGGGUUUACCCAUAAAACCUAAAACCUAAAAAAAAAUAAAAAUUCCUCAAAGUGUUUCGUUGAGGGAAUGAAGCGGCUACCAAAGUAAAAAUGAAGAAAAAGAAGAAGAAGAUCGUCAUGAAGGUGGCUAUCAUUUUUCUUAUGUUGUUGAGUCAAUGAUUUAGCACCGAAAAUACUCCUAGCCAGGUAUGCGCAUAAAAAUUUUCAGUCACAAUGUUUGCUUUUACGGUUUGAGAUGUAGAAAGACAAGUUUUUAAGAUGGCUACCACUUAUUUGACAUCAUCCCAAAAGGAAAUUCUGGAUUUUACCCCUUCCUAGCAAAGAUUUGGUAUGGGUAGAUAUUAAAUCUCAUCCUUGAUACAAAAAUAAAUAGGAAUCCUAUCUUUUCCAUUUCAUGGUUCAUUGUUUCAAUAAAUUGCAAACAAAUUCAAAUCAAAAACAUUAAAAACAUAAAUUUAGAAAGAUUGGGCAUCUUAUUUACGCAUGAUGAAUGGAGAGACAAAGAUCAAUGAUGGGAAUUGGGUAGAGUGGUGAAAAAGAGUUUCAAUAUGUAAAAGCAUAUCUCAAUAGACGAUGAGAUAAUUUUUUUUAGUUUAUUAUUCUUAACCUUUUCAUUUGGUGAAAUGAAUUUGACAUGAGAAAUAAUUAAAGAUGAUAAGACAAUGGUGAAUUGGUGAAAUGAACUUUACAUGUCAUAUGCCAUAUGUGCCAAAUUUAGAAUAGCUUGAGUACGGACUAUUAGUAAAUUUGCUUCCUAUUCUAAGUUCUCCCAUAUGGAGGCUGGUAAUCCACAAGUGUGGGACUUAAUUUUGCCUAUGGAAGACUUAGUUUUGAAUUUAUGAGAUGACAAUCAACAAGUGUGAUACUCUUGUGUCCUUUGCCUUGAAUCACACCAUAGGGCACCCAUGGACACCCUUUGUGGCUAUUGUUUACCUUUUCUUGAGUCUUUUAUUACUUUCGUCCAUGUACAUCCCUAAAAAUUGAUAAAUUUGGUGAAUUCCAAAAUUGAUUAAAUUUUGAUUGAAAUAUUUAGUGUUGCUCUCCAUAUUUAAACUCUUAAGGUCAAAUCUUUAACUUCAAGAUUAUAGGUUAGUUUUUUUAUUACUUGGAACCUAGGUCAUGGCAAGAACCACAUUGAUUGUCAAACUAGUUGACUUUAAGAAAGUCUUGCAAGCUUUGGAGGGGGGAUAAGCUGAUUUAGUGAGGUUGGAGAAGAACAAGUCGUUAAUGGUCAUUGCACAUAUUGUGGGAUUAUGUGUCUUGGAUUGAGAAAAGAAGAUGUGUAGUUCUGUAUUGUCAUUGUGAAGAGGUGAAUUGAAUCAAACAUUAGAAUUUUGUUUUAUUCUUUUUCUCUAAUUUUCUAUUUCUUAGCUAAGAGAUUCUAAGUAAAGAAAAGAAAAAUAUGCAAUUGAUAUGAAGAUUUGCAUGAGAAAAACAAAGUUAUCCUCUCAUUAACAAUACUAUUUUGAAUAUUUGGAUACAUAACAAGAAUUGAAUAAACAUAAAGUUACAAGUAUUGAGAUGACAAUCAAAAUGUGUGAAACUCUCAUGUCCUUUGCCUUGAAUCACACCAUAGGACACUCAUGGACACCCUUUGUGGCUAUUGUUUACCUUUUCUUAGGUUUUUCAUUGCUUUUAUUCAUGUACAUUCCUAAAAAGUGACAAAUUUGGUGAAUUCUAAAAUUGAUUAAAUUUUGAUUGAAAUAUUGAGUGCUAGUCUCAAGAUUUAAACUCUUAAGAUCAAAUCUUUUAACUUCAAGAUUGUAGAUCAAUUGGGCUUUUUAUUAUUUGAAACCUAGGUCAUGACAAAAGCCACGUUGAUUGUCAAGCUAGUUGACUUUAAGAAAGUCUUGCAAGCUUUAGAGGGAGGGUAAGUUGAUUUAGUGCAAUUAGAGAAGAACAAGUCAUAAGUAAUCAUUGAGCAUACUAUGGGAUUAUGUCUCAUGUAUUGAGAAAGGAAGAUGUAUAGUUCUACAUCGCCAUUUGUGAAGAAGUGAAUUAAAUCAAAUAUUAAAAUUUUAUGUUAUUCUUUUCCUCUAAUUUUCUAUUUCAUAGCUAAAAGAAUAUUCUAUGUAAAGAAAAGAAAAGAAAAACAAGCAAUUCAUAUGAAGAUUUGUAUGAUAUCAUGAAGUUAUCCUCUCAGUAAAAACACUAUUUUGAAUAUUUGAAUAUAUAACAAGUAUUGAAUAAACAUAAAUUUACUAUUUUUGGCUAUUAAUAUUUUCAUUAAAUCCAAAUUGUGCAUAUUUUCUAUAGCUAAAACUUAAAACCAUAUUUUAUAAUUCAUAUGAGAAAGGACUAGAGGAGUGCUUCUGAAUCUUUGUCCUAGAUUCUUUAGAGUUAGGUGAUUUUUGGCCAUAGGUUUAUACUAAAGUUCAACCUUAUAACUACUCAUGAUUUACCUUGAUUUCAUCAUUUUAGUUCUUUUUGAUUCACCUUCUUUUAGAGAUUUUGUUGAUGUAAUUGUAGGAUAUUUUCCUUGUGACAUGAUAAUAGGUAAUUUUCCUUCUUUCCUUCCAUAGUUCUUGCUCUUAUAAAUAUAUGCACAAAGCAAACGUCAAUAUAGGAAAAUUGUUUCCAAGAUAAUUUUUUUCCUUAAGCUUUUAUCUUUGAUUAUGACUUCGUUACAGACAACCUCAUCUUCUAUUAUGACUUAAGUUUUUUCUAUUAAGUAAUAUCACUAAUUAUACUUCAACCAGAUUAAAUGAAACUAAUUAUCUCUAAUGAUGGUGAAGUGGGUUUGUUCCUAUUCUUGUAGACAAUGAUAUCUAUGGAUAUGUCAAUUUACAUUGCUUUAUUUCUUUUUCAUGUAACAGUUGUAUCUAACUUGAUGUUAUUCUUACAGUGAUGUCCUCUAGAGGUGGUAGGACUUUUGUGAAUCAAGCUCUAAUUGAUGGGAAUGUUGGUUUCUUGAGAAAUCAAUUUCUAUCAGCCAACUCAUGGAGGAGUGAAAGUCUGAGUCGAGGGUAGAGUGCCCAGGACCAGGAUAUCUGAAGAAUUAAGAUAAGAGAGGGGCACUAAGGAAAGAACUGCCAUGGAAUUGACUUCCAUGGAUACAAUCCAAAAGGGAAGAAUUAGCAAGUCACAGAUAUGGAUGUUGGUAGAGGUAAUAAGACAAUUGAAUAAAUUGUUGUAACUGAACACCUGAGAAUGAAAGUUGACCGAAAACAAGGAUGCAACAACAAAAAGAGAGCAAGAACGAAAGUUGACUAAAAACAAGGAUGCAACAAUAAAAAGAGAGCAGAAUGUGAUAAAUAAAGAAAAUACCAGUUACAAAAGGAAAACUUGAACACUCUCCUUCCAAAGGUAAAAGUUCCUAUAGAAGGCAAAUCACUUGUUUUUAGCAUAUCAAAGCUCUAAUGGAAGACAAUUUGUUUGUCUAUAGAGGAUAUCAAAAUUAUAGUUUCAACUACAUUAUGGAAGAAGGAACAUAUGUAUAGUAUGAGAUAUACAAUUAAAAAUGCAUUCAAUGUUGUAUCAUGAAAGUUUCUGCAGAGAUCAAUAGAGUUUUAACUUCCAAAGCAAGAUUCACGAAGUGGAUUUUAUUACAAAGAGAAGCAAAGAAAAUCUCGUAAGAAAAAUUACAAACUGGCAUUCUCUAAACUUUAAAAUUAUCUCAGUCUAAUUUCUCUAAUUCUCCAUCUAAUAUCUAUCUCUCUAUAUCUCCUAAAUAACUAGAUAGCGAGCUAUUUAUAGGCACUUUAUCAGUUUCUAGCUCAAUUAUAGCUUGUCACGUACACAAUAUAAUAAAAUCUAGUAAGUAAAUCUUCGCAUACUUCCUCAAUAAAUGUUUUCUUUCAUGGCCUUAUUAUGAUUAUUUGCUUUGCAAGGAAUAGCUUCAACCCAUUUCAACACAUAAUCCACUACCAUAAGAAUAUAGUGAAAACUAGAGGAAGGUGGAAAAGAUCCCAUAAAAUCAACACUUCAACAGUAAAAAACUUCCACCACACAAAUGUUGUGUAGUGGCAUUGAUUAUCUCUUACUUCACUUUUUCCUAGGUGUUGGCAUUUUUCACAUCUCUUGUACGUUACUCGCAAGUAUUCUUCAUAAGAGUGUUCUAGUAGAAACCUGACUAUAGUACCUAGGUGUUAGUUUUCUUGGAAGCUAAAUGUUAUCUACACACAUCAUCAUGACACAUUUUCAACAUGCUUUCUCUUUCUUCUUCUGGAAUGCAUCUUCUUAUAAUCUGAUCAUGACAAUACUUAAAUAACAAAUGUUCUUCCCACUUGUUAUUCUUGGACAAAAGGAAUCUUCUAUCUUCAGCGGUCUAAUUAGUAGGAAGUUGACCAAUUACUAGGUAAUUGACUAUGUCAGCAUACUAAGAUAUUUUCCUUUUGAUGGAGAAAGCUUCAUCAGGAAAGUUUUCAUUAGAUUCUUCUCCUUUAAACUUAGUCACAAUUCUAGAUAAGUGGUCAGCUACCAUAUUUUCUACUCCUUUCUUUUCUUUGAUUUCCAAUUAAAAUUCUUGUAAGACUAGUAUCCAACAAAUUAAUCUGUCUUUCGCUUCCUUUUAUAUAUUAAAAGAUACUUCAAAGCAGAGUGGUCUGUAAAUAUCAUAAUUUUGGUUCCAACAAGGUAAGUUCUGAAUUUGUCUAGUGCAUACGCUACUACUAACAACUCAUUUUUCUAUGAUCAUAUAGUUUUUUUGUGCAUUGUUUAGCAUCUUGCUGGCAUAGUGGAUGACAUUGCUUAUUCUCUCGACAACUGUGAGUACAUAGCCACUGGUGUUGCAAAUAAGUUCAAAUGGCAAAUUCCAAUUGGGGAGUUCUUACCACUAGUGCAGAUACAAGUUUCUCCUUGUAACUUUUCAAAUACAAGCUAGCAUCUCUUUGUCUAUAGAAAUUCAGUGUCUUUCAAUAGUAAAUUGCACAAUGGUUGAACGAUUUUUGAGAAAUAUUAGAUAAAUCACCUGUAGAACCUUGCAUGCAUGGCUUAAGAAUUAGUGUACUUUUCUAACUAUAGUAGGACUUAGCAGUUUAGAGAUCAAUUUAACUUUAGCUUCGUCAGCCUUUAUACCUCUCUCUAGUAUUACAUGGCCUAGGACUAUCCCUUGCUUGACCAUGAAGUGACACUUUUCCUAGUUCAGCACAAAACCUUUCUCAAUACAUUUCUUCAGUACUUUUUACAUGUUUUCCAAUCAAGCUAUAAAUAAGGGUCCAUAAACUAUGAUAUCAUCCAUAAAUACUUCCAUCUCCUUUUAUAAGAAUAUUGAAAAAAUGGUCACCAUGCAUCCUUGAAAUGUCUCAAGAGUAUUGCAUAAUCCAAAUGACAUUCAUCUAUAAAGCAUACCUGUCAAAUGGAUUAGUAAAUGUUGUCAUCUCUUAGUCUUCUGAUGCAAUUGGUAUUGAAAAUACCCUGAAUACUCAUCCAAGAAAUAAUAAUAGGAUCGGAGUAGCCUACAACUUUCUCCAAGGUUUGGUCCAAAACAGCAACAGAAAAUGAUCCUUCCUUGUUACUGCAUUUAGCUUGCCGUAAUCAAUACACACCCACCAACUUGUAGUAAGUCUAGUAGGUACCUCCUCUCCUCUACCAUUCUUGAUACCCUUAUGCCGCUCUUUCUAGGAACCACUUCCCAAGUAUUGUCAAAGAUGGAGUAAAUGAUUCCAACAUCCAACAGUUUAAUUACUUUUGCUCUUAUUAGAUCUUGCAUUGGGGGGUUAAGCCAUUACUAUAGUUGGAGAAUGGGUUUUUUAUCCUCCUCCAAGAAUAGUGAUGGGUGCAGAGAUUGGGGUUGAUUCUUUUUUAAGUCCUCAAGAAAUCCUCUUAUCACAUUUUUGAAUUGUUUUAGUACUUGAAUGAGCUUUUGCUUUUUAGUUAGAUCAAGAGAUGUGACUAUAAUAACUUAAUAAUCCUCUCCUUCUCCAAGGUAGAUAAACUUGAGUCCUUCAAGUAUUGGUCUUUUCUUUUUCUUUCUUUUUCAUUUUCAACUUUUUCUACUGUACGUGAAUAUUUCUUCUUCCUAUUUCCACAGUUUUAUUACUUUAUCUUUUGUUUGGUAUGCAAUGGAUAUAUCAUCCAACCCUUUGUAGUUUGUGAUCAACUGAUAUUCUAUCAAGUUGUCCACAGGUUCUUGAAUUAACGUUUCCAUCAAGCAUAUUUUUGUUGGCUCUUCUACUUCUAUCUACAACACAGGGCUUUUUGUUAGCAGGAACACAUUGGUUUCCAAGGUCAUGACUCCAAAGGUUAGCUUCAUUAUCCCAUAUCUGUAAUUAAUCAAGGCAUUAUCAAUAGCCAAAAACAGUUUACCCAGAAUUACUGGUAUUGAAUUUGAAUUCCUCUUUGGCUACUCAAUAUCAAGUACUAUAAAAUUAGCAUGGUGUUAUAACCUAUCCACCUAAAUUAGGGUGUCUUCUACCACUCCCUUCAGUAUUUUUACUAUUGUGUCAACCAAAUAUAAUGUGGUUACCAAGCUUUUGAUAUGGUGAAAAUGGAAUCAAAUUGACAUUUGCUCCCUAGUCAAGCAAUGAUCUUUUAAUUAUUACUUCUACUAUGGAUAUUGUUAUAGUAAGAUAGCCAGAAUCCUUAAAUUUGAUUGGGGUUUUGCAUUGAAUAAUUGCACUAACCUACCCUGUUAAGAACACUUUCUUGUCAAUAACCAUUUCUCUUUUCACUAUGCAUAGGGCUUUUUUAGGAAUUUUACAUAGAUUAGUACUUGACAUACCAUAUCUAGAAGAGGUAUGCUGAGUUUAACUUGGUAGAGUACAUCAAACAUGCACUUUAGUAUAUUGGUCAUCUUCAUUUCUUAGAGCUUGAGGAAAUAGGUUCCUCCUUAGACCUUGGGUGAUCCAAAAGACAUGUGAUUAGGAAGACUAUGACGAUAAUAAUUCAUUUAAUGGAAUUUGACAUAUACUCUUUAGAGCUAUAAUAUGUCAAUUGAUCACAUAACAGAUACAUUAAUAACUAAAGGAUUGAAGAAAUAAUUUUGAUAAGUUGAUAGCAUUACUUUAUUGGAUUAUAAACACUAGGUCAUGGGGGGUUCACAUGCAGUGGAUAGUAAGUCAUGAACUUAAGCUUCGCCCCAUUGUAAUUUCAUAAGAUAUUGGAGUACAGUUGAUUCUCUAUAGUAAAGUGUUGAAUUAACUUCAAAAUUGAAUCAUAAGGGAGUUGGUAUUUUUCUAUGAGUUUGAGUGGUCCCCAAUCAAGCUCUUAAUUUAUGGUGGCAUGUUUUAUUUAAGGGAUUUGGUUUUUGGUUCGCAAGUGUGCAUAAUGGCAUUUUGGUAAAAGCGCAAGAUUGCAUUAGAUCUCAUGGAUUAUAUUUUUAAAGUAGGCUAAUUAAUAUUAAAGUCCAAUAGAGCUAAUCAAUUAAUUGAGACCUAGGUGGGUUAGAUUAAGUGACCUAAGCCCAAUUUGGGUUCAAGUCACUUAAGCUAAUAAGGGGCCUAUAUAAACCUCCAACCCACAAAAAGCCCUAUAUAAACCUUUAUAAGGGUUUAAGGUUUAGAUUUUUGCCACUUUUUCUCCAUAAGAGUUUUCCGAAGAGAAGUCUUGGCCACCCUCAAGUUCUCUUUCAUGCUUAGAUUCGCGUAAGGAGAGGUUGGGUGGAAGAACACCAUGUAGACAAGUUCUACUCAAUAUCUUCAUUGGCUUGGUUUUUAUGUCAUUUUUUAUAAUUUUUCUCAACAUUUUCAUAAAUUUUGAUUAAUUUUUCGUAUGAUCGAUAUUUUAUGUUAGGAUAUCCAUCGAUAUUUUUCAAUAUAUUUCAAUAUAUACAUCAAAUUGAGUUAUCAAUAUAUUCAUAAAAACCGAUAUUUGUACCUUAUAAGUGCCUUAAAGUUGAAACCAUGGGGCAAUUUGUGUCCCAAAAGGACACUUCUCGAGCGAUAUGACGGGUCCUCUAAUACUUGUUCUAUUCUAAAUCCACCACUAAGGCUAUCAUUUACACUACAGAUUUUUUUUUUUUUUUUCUCUUUUAAUUAAUUUCUUUUAAGCCCUUGAUUUUCCUGCCUUGGCCAUGCACCUUCAAUCCAAAGAACUGACUGAGACACACUGAAAAGAUGCAUGUUAAACCUCAUUACUAGGACAUUACAAUGAAUUUGACCAAAAACAUAGAAUAAUCACUUAACCAGCUAGGUUCUAAAUAACAUCCACAAACCUGUUACGGAAUGCAAAUUGGAGUGAAUUUUAACAAAGAAGCAUAAGCGAAAGAACACCAUAUGGGUCUUGCAGACUAGAAUAAUUGAACUUUAAUUUUACUUCCAAGUGAGAUACAACUCGAUCCUUGUUUAGUUGUCUUGAAAUUAAGCUGAUGAAUAGGAAAAUAGCAUAAUUCAACACAUCAUAUGUAGGAUGUGUCUUACCCAGAAAAAAGGAAAAAGGAAAAAAUCUUUGAGUUUGUUAAUGUAGGACAUGAAUUCCCAAGUUGCAUAUUGGUCUCCAUGGCUCAAUUUGAUUGUCCAAAUUUCAAAUGACUAUGGCAUCCAACUCAGCAAGAUUUGUUUUUGUGAUACUUGUCGUUUUCUUCAUGUAACGUUUCUCUUGGUUUCUAACAAAGCCAUCAUCAAUUAGUGGCUAAACCAGUAAGGAAUGGACCCACUUGGCUUUGGACAGCCUACAUGGCGGUGGAACCUAUCUUUUUCAGGCUUAUGUCCAAUUUGAGCCCAAAUACUAACAACUUCAAAGGAAGCUAAUGAUCGGGUACCAAAAAAAACAUUAUGUUCAUAUACUAAGAGUGUGUUUGACAGUAAUUAUAAAAAUGGUUUAUAACAUCUUUAAUACUUGAAAGAUAAAAAAUUUCAAGUGUUAAAAAAACUAAAAACACUUUUUAGACUCACUACCAAACGAAUUUUAAGCAUUUAAAUCAAUUUUAUUGUAGAACUCGGCCGAUCAUAAAGAUAAUUAUACACUCAGACAGACAGGAAAAUACAUCGGACAGAAUACAGAGGACAUUAUUCUAAAAUACAUAACCAAGACAGGAAAUUACAUCAGCCAAAACAUAGAGGACAUUGUUCUAAGAUAUACCUAAUCCAGUGAAGGAUAUUAUUAAUCCAUGAUUUUCCUAAUCUACAAGGGAAUUGAAUCACUCCAAGAGGGGCCAUCUAGAGCUGAAGACCUUCUUCCAGGAUGGUCUAUUACUGAUAUCAUCCCACCAUGCCUUCACGUGUUUCCUCUCCUCAAUCAAAUACAUCUUCCCCAUAUCAGCCAAGUACUUUGUGAAUGGAAGGUGGCUAAGAUCAGCAAGGCUAAAGAAAUCCCCAGCCAGGUACUUGCUCUUGGACAGCCUCUCUUCAUAGAUGUCCAACACCUUUGCAAGCUUCUUUUCACUCUCUUCGAUCACUUUCGCAUCUGGGGGAAUACCCCGUUUGCGGCCAAACAGAAUUUCAAUGACUAAAUUGUCAAUUGCUGGGUGGUAACUUUGUGCUUCAACCUCCAGCCAUUGUUCCACCACUCCCCUCUCCUCUAUUGUCUUCCCCAGUAAAUCAGUUCCUUGAGACUUGUACUUCUCAGCAUAGUACCUCAUGAUUGCACGAGAUUCUGAAAUUCAAAUCAUACUCAUUCAUCAAGAACCCAAAGGGCCUGUUUGGUAAAACAAAUAAAUUGUUUUCAGCAAUUCAUGGGGUUCUAAGCUUUACUGAAAAGAUCAACUUUGAGACUAACACAUCAUAAAUCACUUAAAGAGUGAAAAAGAGCAUUCUAAUCUUAAGUGGAAAUGUUGUCUUUAUAAGAAAGGCAUUUCUGUAUAUGGAAUACUACUAUAGAAAUUCUGUGAUAGAAAUUUAUUAGAAGUGAGAUCACUGAAAAUUACCAAAUAAGGUAUAGUCUCCAUCUUGAAUGACAGGAACAACUCCAAAAGGCUGCAUUUGAUGAGAGAAAGAAGCAUAAAUUAUCAACAAUAUGUACAACAAAUCAAGAAAUUGUGAUACUUCAAUCAUUAAGCCUUUGUUUGGCUCUCAACAACUGCUGCAAAAAAAAAAAAUGAAAGGAAAUUUAAUGAAGUUCGAGUUUGAACUCCAUCAAUUCCUUCUCUGUUGAUCUUAUUUCUACUUAAAAGCUUUUCGAAAUCAUCAGCUUUUUCACUAACACCACAAAUCGAAAUCGUCUCGUUUCUUAUGUUGUUCCUGAGCUCAAAACAAAGCUUUAAACGACAAGAAGAAAUUAGAACCUGCAACUUCAGGAAUUCUGGAUCCUUAUUCUGUCCUUUGAUGAUAUCAAUGGGGAGAGUCUCGAAUUCGACCUCCUUCUCAAUGAGGCAAACAAGCACGCGCUUUGCAGAAGCAAAAUCUGGGCCAUACACCUUCACCACCAUUGUUGUUAUCUUGAUUUAUCUCUCAAAGAUCUAGUAAAAACAACGACCGGCGUUUGGGUAGAGGGGUUGAUCUUGAGGCCUUACAUGUAGUGGUUUUUCAAAGUCCAAGAGAUUCGAGAUCAUGCACCUUCUGCGUAAAAAAUGGGCACAUACAGUCAGAUAUUUGAGCAGCUUAUCAUUAAAAAGGGAAGAUGAAGAUUAAAAAAAUAGCAGAUAUUCUCCAAUGCGACUUCAUGGAUAAGAAGAGAAGGAAGGAAAUCGUAGUUUGACUACUUCUUUAAACUUUUGAAAUAGAUUCUAAUACUCACAUUUUUAAUUAGAGAUUAGAAAAGUUUUUCUCAUAAAAUUAUCAGUACAAUGAUGAAAAUGAAUGAUAAAGAUAUCCACUUUGGAAAGAUUUUUGAAAAAUUGGUCAAAAAUCAAAGAGAUUAUAAAAGUUUUUCUCAUAAAAUUAUCAAUUCAAUGAUGAAAAUGAAUGAUAAAGAUAUCCACUUUGGAAAUUUUUUUGAAAAGUUGGUAAAAAAUCAAAGAGAUUAGAAAAGUUUUUCUCAUAAAAUUAUCAAUUCAAUGAUGAAAAUGAAUGAUAAAGAUAUCCACUUUGGAAAAAUUUUUGAAAAGUUGAUCAAAAAUCAAUAAUUAAAAUUUUUUAUUUCGUUAGAUUUGAAGAGUGGAAAUUUUUUUGGAAUUAAAUAUAGAUUUGGAAAAAAAAAUUAGAAAUCAGAUGAUUGAGAUUUGAUUUUAAACAUUAAGUAUAUUGUAAAAAUUAAUAAAAUUAUUAUUAGGUAAUUAUUGUAAAACCUUAGUGAGAAAAAUUAGUUGAAAUUUAUAUAAUGUGGAAUUGCUAUAAUGAAUUGUUAGAAAUUGAAUUUAAAAUUAUAACAAAUAAAUUUAGUUUUAAUUGGAAUUAAUAAUUUUGAUUUUGAGGAUUAAUUAAAUUGGUAAAAAUACAAGUAUAUGAUUUAAUGUUAUUAGAAAUUAAAUUUUAUUGAGACAUAAGAUAUUUAAUUUAGAAAAAAAAAUAUAAUAUAAUAAAAUUUUAAUUUUUGGGAAUUGAAAUAUGUUUAGGGGCAUGUAUAAAAAAAAUAAUAUGGAGGAGUUGUGAAAUAAUAAUAAUACUAGGCUUAUAAAAAAUUUUAGAAAAGAAUAUGCCACUGUCUGUAAAAAAAAAAAUAUUAAAAGUGGCGGAAAGCCUUGGUCAAAAAAUUUAGGGAAUAAAGGUUAAAAGAGAGAGAGAGAGAGAGAGAGAGUGGAAAGUGGCAUGAAAGCCACUGCCUAUAAAAAAAAGUAAGCCACCUCCUAAUAUUAAACUGGUGGAAAUUCAAUGAAAAUUAUGUUAAGAGUCAAAUUUAGUAAUUAUUUAUUGGUGGCACACUUCAUGUGAAUUAAAAAAAUAUUUGUGUGAAGAUUUAGAAUUAUUUUGAUUGUAUUUAAAAGAUGAAAUUAAAAUUUAUUAGUGAUAUAUUAGUGUUAAGAAUAAUGGAGAUUAUUGAUUGAAAAUUUUGAGUAUUGUUAUAUGUCUAAACUACUUGUUUUAUAGUAUUAUUAUUUGAGUUGGGUUCAUUCUACAUCCAUGGUUGUUUGGAAAAGAAAAGUAAAGAAAUCAUGAUAUGAAAUAAAAAUGAAAAUUAAAAGACCCUAAAUAAGGCAAAAAUGAAAAGGUUAAAAAUAAGAAAUGGAAGAACCCAACGAAUACGAAUUAAAAAUCAAGUGAAAUCUUUAGCGUGAUUGAGAAUUAAAAGACAUCGAAAAGGGUAAAAUUAAAAUAAAUUUUUUUAAAAAUGGUAGAUUUUCAAGAAGGACGAAUUAAAUAUAGAAUGAGAUCUCUAGUGUGUAAGCAUUUGGAUCAUGUUUGCUUCUAGAUAAAGAAUUUAUAUAAACUAAUUAAAUGACAUCAAAUGUAUGUUUGAAUAUAUUAUUAAAAAAUGAUUUAUUUAUUUUGUAUAGGAAAAUUAGAAAUAUUUGUUAUGAUAUGCAUGAUUAAAGAAAGAAAUGUGAUAAUGUAGAUUGAUGUAAUUUUGUAUGAUUGAGUUUCAUUUAAUGUAUAUAAUGAAUAAAAUAUUAUUAUAUUUUGGUAUUUUAUGAUAUUAUAUUCACCUAGAAUUGUUAACCUGUUCGUGUGCAAAACAUCUAGUUAAGCAACAUGGGAAUACUCACCUCUUUCUCUUUAAAAUUUUAAAGAUGUCAAUGUAGUUUAUGAGAAUCACAAGAAAACAAGGAAGAAUUUCAAUAAGUCCCAUGAAGUCAAGGAACAACCUCAAUAAUUGUUUUAAAUUUCUAUUAAUUUUUUUGGUAUGUACUACUUUGAGUUAUAUGGAUUAUAGUAACCUAACAUAUAUAUUUUAAAUAUUUUAUUCGAAAAGAAAAUCAUGUACUAAAUCCUAAUUCAAUAAAAUUAAAUGAAACUAGAUAUCAAUUUAUUUUAGAAAAAUCAUAUUAUGAGGUUGAUUGUCAACUUGGAUAAGAGUAACCUCUAAGCUCACACUUUCGAUCUAGGUCAUGAGUUUGGCUCUAGAUUAGUAGGAAUUCAACAGUGACAUAUGCCUUGAGGAACCCACUUGAGAAAUUUGGUUUCUUGAAAGGUAACAAAUGAAGUGGUUAAGCUAGCAAUAAGGGAAGAGAGACUUGUUUUGGGAAUUUCUUCAAAUUCCAUACUGUUCUCUCCCUUUCUGUUUGACAUUUAAGAGUAUGAUGUGUUAAUCUAUCUUCAUACUCUUCCAUCUAAAGAGCAGACUGGGUUGAUUUUGAUCCAUUCUACGUUCAUCCCUUUCUUUAAAGGUGACCCACACCUUAAGAUUUUUGGUACAAUGUCCUACACUUGAAAAAUACCAAGCUCCAAAUGGAGAAAGAACACCCAUAAGCAUUCAAAUUGUUAUUCUUACAAAACCAUGGACAUAAAUCCUCAAGAGGACAACAAACAAGAUAGGAGAAAGAGAGCAGCCAGCCCUAGACAUGGAGGACAUUAUUUGAAAAUGUAAAUGGAGAAAGAACACCCAUAAGCAUUCAAAUUGUUAUUCUUACAAAACCAUGGACAUAAAUCCUCAAGAGGACAUCAAACAAGAUAGGAGAAAGAGAGCAGCCAGCCCUAGACUUGUAGGGCAUUAUUCCAAGAUUGGGGCAGGGUAGAGCUCAAGGACCUUUUUCCAAGAUGGCCUGCUACUAAUAUCAUCCCACCAUGCACUCACAUGCUCUCUCUCCUUAAUCAAAUACAUCUUGCCCAUAGCACCCAAGUAGUUAGUGAAAGGAAUGUGGCUGAGAUCAGCAAGGCUAAAGAAGUCCCCAGCCAAGUACUUGCUCUUAGACAGCCUCUCCUCGUAAAUGUCCAACACUUUCCCAAGAUUUUUCUCACUCUCUUCAAUCACUUUUGCAUCUGCAGGAAACCCCAUCUUGUCACUGAACAGAACGUGAAGAACUAAAUUGUAUAUUGGUGGGUGGUAGUUUUGUGCUUCAACCUCUAGCCACUGCUCCACAGUACCCCUUUCCUCUAUUGUCUUCCCAAGCAAAUCAGUUCCUUGAGACUUGUACUUCUCUGCAUAGUACCUUAUGAUAGCUCUUGAUUCUGCAAAUCAAAUUAAGAGCCAUCCAUCAAUGGUUUAUUUUUCUGAUUUUAGUUACAUAAUAUGAAGAAAUUUUGCAAUCCUUGACAUAAUUUUUCCUAGAAAAUUUCCAACCAAAGAAAACAAACCUAAAUACGAAAGGAUCACAAAAAUUUUACAAAGGGAUUUACCAUAUAAAGUAUAAUCUCCAUCUUGAAUGACAGGAACCACUCCAAAAGGCUGCAGUUCAUCAGAGAAAAGCAAUGGAAACUAUAAGCAGAUCCUCUGAUAGAUAUAGUUGAAUUUGAAACAUCAAGGGUGAUCCAAAAAAGGGUUGUAAGUUUAAUUUUGAAAAACUCCUCUUCAUCUUCUCUCAAUUUAUAAUCCUACCUUUUAAAACCAGAAAAUGGGCAGUAUCAAGAAAUUCAGCUUUCUGGGUAACUUUAAAAUCAAAAUUCCUCCUUUUUCUUGUUCUUUUUCCAAAGACUUUACUGAGAAUCAAACAGACCCUGAUCCAAAAUAAAAAAUUCCGAAAAAAAAAAAAAAAAAAAUACCUGUAACUUGAGGUAUUCAGGAUCCUUGUGCUCUCCUUUGAUGAUAUCAACUGGGACAGUCUCAAACUCAAUCUCCUUCUCAACAAGGCAAAUAAGGACACGCUUUGGACAAGCAAAGGCUGGGCCAUACACCUUCACCACCAUUUUUUUUUCUUCUUCGUUUUUUUUCAGGGCAACCAAACAGCUUUAAUAACUGAAUACUAAUAGCCCUUGAAGAGAGCCGUGAAUAAAUUUAUCACUCCAUCUUUCUCCUUUUCAUUUUUUCAAACUAGUACAUAACCGCACCUUUAAAAUGUGAUUAUAUUUGAUAUUUUCUUUAAAGCAUUAUAAAUAAUUUUUCAAAGUUUUAAAGGCAAAAGAUGACGUUUUAUCAUCUUUUUUUUCUUCAAAAGUUUUGCAAUAUUUGGUUUCGAAAGUAUUAAGAAAAAAAAAACGAAAAUUGGUUUUCUUAUGUUUUAUUUUACCGUAAAAAAAAUAUAAUUAAAAUUAAUUAAAAUUUUAUGCAUUUUAAAAUUAUUUAACAUUUAUAUAAUAAAAAAAUAAGUUAAAUGAGUUUGAAAAAACCAUAUAAAAUAAUUUUUAAAAUUUAAAUCUAUUUUUUAUUUUCAUUUACUCUUUUUUUUUCCUUUUAUAUUUUAUUUUUAUUUUUAUUUUCUCAUAUUUUUUCUUGAAUUUUUUGAGAGCCAAACAUACCCUUUAUGUUUUAGGUUUUCAAGAGUAUUGUCAAACAAAUAUUAACACCCUAUUUGAUAACUAUUUUUUAAAAUUGUUCUUUAAUAUUUUAUAAAAUAAAAAUCUUUUUGGAACCUAAAAUAAUUUUAACAUGUUUUUUUAAUAAUUUUUAUGUUUAAAGCUUUAUUUUUAAUCAUUAUACAUGUUUGUUUAAAACAAAUGAAAAUAACUAAAAAUAACUAAAAGAUGUGCAAAAAAUAGAUUUUUGAUUGUCAAAUAUGUUUUUCAAUUUUUUUUCUAAGAAAUAAAAAAUUAUUCUCGAAAACAAUGGUAAAACAAACCCUAAACCAUUGAGCCUGACUCAAAACUUACACGACAUUGAAUUUAACCAAUUUCGUUGGUCCAAUUGGGGUCAAUAUUCUUUUGUAGGCCAGCCUGACAACCCAACCCUUGACAGGUCAUGUAAAUGUUGUCCACCCUCCCUUUAUCUUUGGUUCUAAUAGUUUAUAAAUCAUCAUUUUCAAUAAUAUUUCAUAAAUUAUGAGUUCCUUUUUUCAUAGUCAUAUGUUUCAACUAUGUUGAAUGAAUGAAUGGUAGCAACUCCUAUCUUCCUCUAUAAUGACAGAGGUAGUUUUGAGAUGACAAUUCCAACUUAUCCAACACUUUCAAUGAGUCCAUUUCCAAAAUUAUGCCUAACCUUUGAAAAAGGUGCUUUCAAAUAUUAUAUAUAUAUAUAUAUAACUGAAUUAAGUUUAUGGAUUUACUUAGACCAUUUUAUGGAUCAAUAGAGAAUUUUGAUUUUUGAAACAUCUUUCAAUCUUGUUCGAGAUGGUCUAACCAACUAAUCACUAAGUUAUCAAAGGUAAGAGUCGUAUCCCACUAAGAAUACAUGUAUCACUAUCCAACCUAACUUUUGAUUCAUUUUUCAUAUCAUGAUUCAUUUCCAUUUUCAUUCUAUUUCAAAUCUUAUUUUCAUAAACAAAACCCACCAUUAGAGUUUGUUUGCUUGCUACUCCAAAACAAAAAUUGAGAAAAUAAAAAUAAAAAAAAUAAAAAAUGAAAGCAUGUUUAGGGAUGAGUUAAAAAAAAAAUCUUAAAAAUAAAAAUUAAAUAGAGUGUUUUCUCAUAAUAUAUUUAAAUUGUUCUUACUUGUUUUCUAAGAAUUAUUUUUUAAAAAUACUAUUCAUAAAAAUUAAUUUUUUUAAUAUUUAAAAAGAAAUAAAACAAGUUAAGAACAUUUAAAGUUUUCAAACAAAAUUUUAUUAUGCAUAAUAUUCAAAAAAAUAAUUUAAAACUUAUAAUUAUUUUUAAAAAUAUUUUCCCAACAUAACCUUAAUUUUCUUUUUUCACUCACCCCAAAGUAUAUAAAAUACAUAGUAACAAUUGUUAUUAAAAAAUUAGCUCUCUUUUCUUUUUAGAACUAUCAACCAACCAAUAUUUGUGUGUAUGAGUUCCUACAUAUAUUUGGUUAUGAUUUAUUUAAAAAUGAAUAUACCAUCUUUCAAUAACUACAAUAAAUAAAUAAAUAUAUAUAUAUAUAUAUAUAUAUAUAAUUACAAAUUUUAAUAAUAUUUUAUUUUUAUAUUUGAUAUAUCAAAUUAAAUAAUAAAGAUAAAUAUAAAUGUAUUUUGAAAAAAAUCCAAUUUUUAAGCUCAUUUAUACCCAUUUUUUAAAGAACUCAUCUGAACUCUCCAUUUUCACACUUAAUCUUUACCAUUCAUUUAAGGACAAACCCUGAAACUCAUAUCUUCCUAUCACCAACCACAUCUCCCUUUUUUCUCCCAUCUUUCUUUCCCUUUCUCUUCUUUUCUUUCUUUCUCUCUCUCUCUCACCAUACCCACGCCUAUUGUGACCACCAACCACCUCUUGCCAACAACUCCUAUUGUUAGUCACUGGCGUCUCAUUCCCACCCCCUCACUAUCUCUCUCAUGAAAAAAAAAGACAUGUUGUGAAUCGAUUCAUUGGAAUCGAUGAGGUUUAACAAUAUCACUCUUAAAAGUCAAAAAGCAUAUUCCAAACAAGAUAUUAUUCAUAGAUGAUGGAUUUCAAGGAUUUUCAAGUUGAUGGAUUUCAACAAAAUUCAAGAUAGAAAUUGAACUUUGUAAUAAACUUUAUAUUAAAAUAAUACUUUGAUUAUAGAAAGUUUGAAUCUUGAAUUGAUACAAAACUUUGAUUACAAUGAAAUGUUUUGAAUACAAGAGAAGAGUUUGAAAAAGAGAGACAUGAUUUUUUUAAAAGGAUCUAAGAAAUUAUCCACCCACUUGAACCCUAAGGGUAGCUCAGUUGGUCCUAUCUUGAGUUUGCUCCCCAAUCAUCAUUAGUUCAAGUUCUUUCAAGAUCGCUAAGGCUUACUCUCGUUAAGCCCACGAUUAUAAAAAAAAAUUCCACCAACAACUCUUGAAAUUCACCCACAGUGCUAUAAAUGAAUGGAAUUUGCUCUUCCUAAUAUUGUUACGGUUAAUUGGAUAUAUAUAUAUAUAUAUAUAAUUAUUCUUUUAAAGAACGAAUUUUUCAGUUUUUUAAAACUAUUUUGAAUAAUAUAUAAAAAAUAAAAUUAGCACAGAGGAAAGAUUUAAUUGAUUUCUGGCGAGGAAAAGUAUUCCAGAAAACUAGAUUUCAAAAUGUCAAUCACCUUCUGUUUGGGUUGAGAGAAAACUAGGGAUAAAAAGAAAAAGGGGGAAACUUUCAAAUCUCAAAUCCGUAUUGAUUUGGUUCCCAGAACGUAAGAUUAAAUAAGGAAAAAAAUUUGACAAACCCACCUCAAGCAGCGAUUUCCCUAGUAACCCAAAGUAACGAAAGCCACAAGAUUCAUUUUCCUUGUGUAAAAUUUUCUCGGCAACCAAAAAGAGACGGAAAGGAAGAAACGAGCCUUCAGAGGUGUGUGCGCAUCAUCACAAGGCCCAGAGGAGGGGUGCGUACAGGGAGAGUAGAGAAAGUGGGAGAAGAAGAAACGAGCAGCAGAUGUUAGAAUUCAGAUUGAAAACUAAAUCAGCAUCAUUAAAUUGACGAAUGUUCUUUCAGGUUUUCAUGUCCACAUGUAUCUGCCGCUUCAAGUUUUGCCUCUCUUCUCCUGCCUUUCUCAAAGCCCCUCUUCACCGCCCCCUUCUAUCGGAUCCUGGUGCGGUGGGUCCUUAUAUAUCAGUCAUGUGGGAGUUAGGGUUUUUUUUCUUUGGUCCUAGGUCUGCAUAGGUUAAAUGUACUAUUCAUAAUUCAAAUUCUCUGGGUGGGUCUAAACGCUAACAAUUCUUUCAGUCUGAAGCUAACAGUAACCACAGACUCAUCAGGUUGAGUUUUGGCUGAAUGGUUCCUCUUGCAUAAUUGUAUUUGAAAUUAAUAAUAACUUUUGCUAUCAAGUAAAAAGCAAAAACCAAAAAUUGAA